Molecule: long non-coding RNA, 81681 nt
Filed under: Amborella trichopoda
Lineage: Eukaryota; Viridiplantae; Streptophyta; Magnoliopsida; Amborellales; Amborellaceae
Description: long non-coding RNA (ATRI_LNC005250)
Source: RNAcentral
GAGAGAGAGAGAGGUCAAUGUAAAUGAUGAGGUGGGAUAGAUUUCGUACAAGAUUUCAGUGCAACAGGAAGCAAACAAAAGAUUUAGUUACCAUCAUGAACAAUGGAAUUCAUUUCUUCCAUUCUUACAGAGUAAAAUAUUUCAAAUUUCUUUGAAAACUUUCACUGAUCCGUAAAUGAACAAAGUAAAACCUAACUAAUGGGUCUGAGACAACAGCCAUACAAACUCUGAACCAUUGUUCUUGCAAAUUAUGAAAAGCCGUCUUCCCUGAUAAUUUCCUCUAUUGUGAGAUGCUGAAGAGAAAUGGAGUACCUAACCGCAUGACUCGAAUCCCCUUUGCUCAGCAAAAAUGAUCCAUUGACAUGCACUUUAACAAGGGAAAAUGAGGAUGGAUCAUCAGCAGUAUGUGUGCAUGAGAGAGAGAGAGAGAGAGAGAGAGGGAGAUGAUUUAAUCAACAAAGAAAGGAAAAGAGGACGAAUCCAUUUCUUGACCAAGAACUAACGAUCGCAUUUAAACAAUAAAGGGAAGUUUUCAUAAAUAUCCCCACAACUUUCAGGAAUUCAAAAAUGUCCUUGAUGUUUUAUAUUUUAUGCUCGUGUUCCACUUUUUGUAGUGCUUCUUGUAAUUUGUUUUUUUUUUUUGUACAUUAGAUUAAGCACAAAUUUUUGUGUCCAUAUUGCUCCCCAUCAUGCACCUCUAAAAAAUAUUAGAAAAUAAAAAUAAGAUGACUAAAUAUAGCUACAUGUUUCAGGGGUAGUUUGAUCAUUUUAUUUCUUUCAUUAUUUUUUUUAAUUUUUUUUUUCUUACUAGUGCAUGAUAGUAAGAAGUAAGAACAAACAAAAUUUAAAUUUAAUCUGAUGUAUAAAAAAAAUAAAAUUGAAAUACAAUAGGCACACUCAAAAAGUGGGGCACAAGCGUAAAAUAUAAAAUAUUGAAGACAUUUUUAAAAUUAGGCAAAAUAUAAGGGAUCCUACUGAAUUUCCAAAUUUCCCCAAAAAAAGUUCACAUUGAGGUAAGUUGUCAAACAUAGAGAUACCUUUGAUUGUGAAAAUGCAUGGCAGCCACCUCUUAUAGAUAAAUAAGAGUCUAGGGCUAUCACCAUGAUGUGUAUCAGAGAGCAAAAGCUUGCAUGUCCCCCUCAAAUUCUGUUUCCCACUGACAAAAGCUCAAGGAAACUUAUAAUAAGGAUUAAAGCAUCCAAUAAUUCAAAGCCACACUCUCACUAUUGUAUUUGAAAAUUUUCAAGUAUUUCAUUACUUACUUUACAUAGUCUAUAGCAUCCCGACACAAUGCCAAGGUUCUAACCAUGGCCAAGUCCCUUCCUCUUUGAUUUCCAUACCUCUCUUGACAGUUUCUAAAACAACAGCAAUCAAUGUUCGAUUUAGCAAGCUAUAACAAGGCUCCAAUCAAAAUUUCAAAGGACAAAAAUAGUGGAAAUAAAUGAAUUCUACAACCGUUCUGUUUGUUCAUGGACUUCAUGUUUUUUAUAAUUAACUUUGAUCAUAGAAACACAUCAUAUUUCGCUGAAUAAAGGACCAAGUUGUGAAUGGUUUGAUUACUUUGAAGGUAAGAAUGGAAUUCAUAACAGAUGUAAAAUCAAUGCACAUGAACCAUGGGUGUUACAAGGAAAGACCAUCAAGGAGUAAUAGGAGAAGCAUGAAAACUAUGAUAACUUCCAGUCAUUUUUCCAUCCAAGAAGAGAAAAGGGACAUUCUAGAAACAGUGGCUUUCCAUGUGAUUUCACUUGUCCAUUUGUAUGUCUCAUGUUCAUAUGUUUUUCUUUACAAUGCUGCAAUUGUAUCACUGCUUUGCUGAAUAUCGUGCAUGACAACAGAACCAACAAGGACAGCCUGAUAUUACAAAGAUUAUAUGCUAGCAUGAUUUACAAUCUGACAUAUUAAUUGAGUAAUAAAACAUAUUUUAUACAUGGGAGCUUUCAGAUUUCCAGAAGCAAACAUGAAUUUUAAGCAUACCACACAUUCAUAUGGUAAGAUUUGAAAAGCCACUCCUAUGAAAAAGGAAACUGGGAAUACAGGCCUCCAUAACAUGCACUAGCAUGACAUACAGACAAGCUAACGAACAAUGUACCUAUCAUGGAAGAAUUCACCAAAGUCAUCAAUGAUAACUGCAGUUGGAAAUGUCUCGUGAAAAUGGAAUGCUGCAAAGUACUUUUUGAGUCCCUCAUCAUCUUCCAAAUACCUGUAAAUGAUAAAAGUUAAAUCUUCCAACUUGUUUUUUUUGUUUUUUCUGUUCUUUUCUUGGAUCCUAGAUAAAAUAAACUGGUGCCCCAUAUUCCACCCAAAUACCAAAGCAAAAAUAUGCCAAUGAAAGAAAUGCAAAAGGAUGAAAACUAUGCAUUGUAGCUAUUAACAUUUACCAGUGUUCAGAAUCUCAGUGAGACCAACUCAAACUCACUCGAGUCAUCCAGAACUGGCAACCUGCCAGUCCCAGAUAAGCCUAACUUGUGUUGACCAAGUCUCGACUGAGUCUGCCAAAAUCUUCAAAAGAACCAGUGAUUCUGAUCUGUGACUAGACAGACUCGGGAUUUGGUGAGCUGACUUGGACCCACUCCUGGAACAUUCCUUGUCCUCAAACACUGAGAUUCACCAACAAAACUAUUUUUGAAGUAGCCAAAACAUUACCCAUUUUCUAGAGUUUAAAAUGCAAAUAUCCAGAGUCUUGACUAUGCUAAAAUAUUCUACAAUUGGAGAAUUGCUGACAUAAUAAAAAUAAGUAAAAGAUAAUACAACUGUGUUCUUUUUUAAUAAUUAGAGAUGAUAAAAUUGCAUGUUUUUACGACAAUCAACAUUUCUCAUUAUCUUGAUAAAGAGAAGGCAAUACUUUUCUUCAUAAAAGCCGCAAAAGGAGAAAAGGUACUGCUUUUCUGUAUUUCUUUUUAUUACACAUUCUCUAUAAAUUAUAUACAAGUGCUUCAUUUUCUUCAAGGAAUUCAACUGACUUAGAAACAGUCUUGCCUAUGCAAAAUAGAGAUUUAUAUAUACUAUAGGACAUCAACAGAAGCUAAGGAACAUUGAGAGCUUCGUAUUAAGGAGAAAUAACUAGUUUUUCUGUUUCAAAAUGACUAAGAGAGAAAUAAAUGAUAGUAAGUGAAUUGCAUAAACGAAUUCAAGUAUUCUUACUUCAUCUGAAUUUUGUUAAAUAUGUCUGAUGAUGGAGCAAUGCCCUGCAACAUGAAAUAACAGAGUAUUCUAGUAAAACAACAGACCCACACUCAUGCAUGCUUGCGGACGUGCACACAUACACAUACACACAGAUACCAACCCAUAGAUGUUUGGAAAUAAUAUGGACCCAAAAAACCGGCAAAAAAAAUAAAAUAAAAUAAAAAAUAAGGUAACAUGUCCAUAAGUUCUUACUAGCAGUUUUGGUUGCACCAGUCGCAUCUUAAGGUUGGUUAACUACUAUUGAUAUGAAUUUGGUUAGAGACCACCUUAAGCAUAGGGGCCCUGAGUUCCAAAACUUUGUUCCAUAAGAUGGGCUACAGAAAAGGCACCUAACCCCUUUUGCUUUGUUGGUGUUAUUUUCCGAACUUAUUCAACAUUUCCGACUAACACCAAUGUCAAUGGCUAUCCAUGUGGCCAGUUGGGGCCCAUCGUGAAAAAGUGGAAUCACUUGCUCUUAUGUGCUCCUGGUUAUUGAAGGAAAAGGAAACAUAGAAAUUUUCUGUUGCUGCUAAAUCUUGAAGGUAAGCAAUGGAAAACCAUCUUAAGGCUUGAUUUGCAUCUUAGGCUUCAGCAUUCCAAGAGUUGCAUUUUUUAGGCAAAAACUUGGUGCAAUUAUAGAGAUAUUCUAUAUCUUGAAGCAAAUUGGCUCAUAACUAUAGAGAAUUCUAUAGGAUGAAGCCUGGGACAUGUGUUGUCACUAAUAUGAAGUGACCCAAUUAGAUGAAAUGGCUAAGGAUACUUUUGAUGAAAGCCCAAUAAGAAAUCUUACACCUUCUGGGGUUGGAAGAGCUAUUGGGAAUAGUGAUGAGGUUUACAAUUUUUAUCAAUGGAUUUCUUAGCCAUGUAGAGAUCAUGGGAGAGAAAGUAAAGGUUCUCCUUAGCCUCUAGAUGAUUUGAUGAACAUGAUUAGAAAGGGUGAAUCAAAAUACAAAGAUGAAAUAAAAAAUUAGUAAACAUUAUCAAAAGAUUCUUGAGAGAUAUUACAAUGUUCCCAUUUCUCACAUGUUUUCCACUAUAUAACAUGGACACUUGUGUUUAAAGCUUUUUCACAUGUGACACCGACAAUUGUGUUCGAUACUUUAGAAAUCGAUACUCUAGAAAUUUAGGCACUUCUUAUUAAUUUUUACUCUUGAAAUCUCACUACAAAAGGACUUAAUGCCAUUACACUCAUAUGUCCAUAUCUAUUUAAAAUAAGUUUUUAAUCAAGAAGGUUGCAUAAUACUUGGCAAAGAAGGGCGCACAAUCUCUCUCUAUCUCUCUCACAAAUUAUACAUCAACAACAUCUGAGAGAUUCCUAAAAUCUGUAUUUUGGAAGAAUCAGGGGUCUUAUUUACUAAUUUUCAGCAUCUCUCUCUCUCUCUCUCUCCAAAUUACACUUCAACAGCAUCUAAGAGAUUCCUCAAAUCUAUAUUUUGUAAGGAUCAGUGGUCUUAUUUUACUAAUUUUCAGCAUCACUCCAACUUUUCCUAAUUUCCCCAAAAAAGAAGUAAAAUAACUAAAAACCGUACCUGGAUUAAAAAUGGUAGUUUGUUUUCCAUCCUCUGUUUGUUGCAGAUAAACACCACUGAAUCUGAGCUCUCCCUUGCCCGAUUAUAGGCAAACUGAAAAAGAAGCGAGGUUUUUCCACUGAAAAUUUUUUAAAAAACAAAGAACAGUUUAUCAUAUGAUCUAUGAAGAACAUUGAUUAAGUACCUUCAGAGAAAUAGAAGAGAAAAUAGGAAUAGUUACCAGCAAGGCGGACCAGAAAGGAGCAUCAUUUGCUCGCAUUUUUCAGGCAUAUACUUAGAGGAGAUUUCGCCGGGAAUUUCACCGGUGCUCAUGCUUCCAGCGAACUUCGACGGAAAGAAUUGAUCCACCAUUCUAUAGAGGGAAGAGGGACAAGAUUGAAACCCUACAAAAGCAUCACAUUUGCCCCCAAUUCUUUUACCCAUGAAUUUUGUUAUCCUCCCAUUUGGAGUUCUUCAUAGAUUCUGCUAAGUCUCCAAAUUUUUUUGCAUGAACGAAAAAGUUCAACAGGCUCCAGCGUUAUACUCAGGGUCUAGACGCAUGUACUUCAAAAGUCACCUUUUAUCGUAUUAAAAAAGAGAAAUGAUCGUGAUCAACCCUAGGUUCCUCAAUAUCAUCCUUAAAUUUUACACGGAUGUAUAAAAAAGACAAAUCUCAGAUAAGUGUGGUAAUUUUUUUCAAAGAUUUGUACCAACCUGAUCAAUCGAAGUCUUACACACAUAAAUAAAGAGGGUCCUAUAAAAUAAUUAUUCAUUUAAAAAAAACCUUAAAACUGAUUAUUAUAUACUAAAAAAAUUAAAGUUUUUUAAAAACGCAGAGUACAUCUUGUUAACAUAUUAUCUGGAUCAUUAUUUUUAAUUUUUAAGUAUUUAUUGCAGUGUCAAUGACUCCUAGUUUAUGCAAGUUACUCGGUCGAGUUGAGCACUAUGUCAAAAAGCCCAAAAAAUUUUAAAAUUAAAAUAUGUAUUAAAAGUUAAAUCAAACUUAAAACAACGCGAAAAUUUUAAAACAAGCGUAAAAAAGAAAAGAAAAACGGAUUUGAAAAAAAAAUCUAAUUUACAAUUUAGGGUAUUUUAGAAUAAAAAAAAAAAAUAUCAAUGGCAAAUAAACACUUAUCAAUCUUUAGCAAAGGCAUUCAAAUCAUGUAAGAAAAAAUUAUGUAACACAACUUUAUUUUUUAAGAAUUUUUUUAAUUUUGAAGUAUUUUUAAAAUGCCUCAAGUUGUACACACAACUCGUGGUACUCUUGCCCAUAGGACGAGGCCGAGUAAUUGGAUUGAGUCUGAGUCGACUCAACCAAGUCCUAAUACAUUUUUUUUAGCUUUUUUCGCUCUACAUUAUUUUUGAGCUUUAAAUUUCAUAAUUAUGGACAAAAAUAGGUUUUUAAGCCACCGUAAAGAUUUCUGAUAUCAAAACUACAUCUUUUAGUAAACUUUAUAGGCCACCUCAUUUUGAUCCCAAAGUUUACACCUUGUACAAAUGGCAGUCUUUCUUAAUUCAUGCACUCCUUCCCAAAAUACCCUUUUUCUCAUAUAAAUUAUGAAAAAGUUUUAGUGAGCCCAUGCUUAAGUGACUCUCUUAAAUUUUACAAGAUAAUCUUGACUACGUAGAUCAUGAAUAUGAAAAACAAUUGGAAUUAAAACUUAAAUUUUAAUUGUUAAAAUGAACAUGUUCAAAUUUAUAUUUUUUUUAUUUUCAUCAUCCUCCUGGUCGAGAUUAUUGACUUAUUAAAUUUUACAUCUAUCUCUACGAUAGAUUUUGGAAGGAGACCACACAAAAAUAGGGCAAGCUAGUUGGCACAGAAAAAUUGAAUCUUAUAAAUUUGAUUGCAGAUUUUGCAGGGCUUGACAUUACAAUAUUUAUUAAUGCUGCAUUUUAAGAUCUAACGAACAUGUAGUCUCGAUGGAGGAACUAAAAAUAAAUUGCGUAUCCUAAAGUUUGGUCUAGAUCUAAUGGAUAUGUGAACACCUAAAUUAAAAGGUCAAAAAAUAUGAGGACUGUUAACAAGGUAUAGAACCAUUUACUAUUAAAAUAUUCUAUUGAAUACAUCAAGAGAAGAGAGGGCAUAUGCUACUCUAAUCCUCCAAGAGAGAAUCUCUGAGUUCAAACUUAUCCCCAUUGCUACAAGAUAGAUACUUAAUAGUGCAUUUAAAUCUCCAUAAUCAUCAUAAGAUUACUCCUAGUUAAAAAAACUUUCAAAUUUUGGCAGUGAUUUUAUACAACAGUUGUAUCAUAGUAUCAUGCAACGGUUGUAUCAUAGUAUAAUGCAACUACACUUCUAGAAAACUAUGUUUGUGGUAUUUGUUUGACCCAUAAUUUUGCACACACACUUUGUUCAUCUCAAUAAUCAAUCCAAAAAAAAAAAAAAUCAAUUUAAACCCUAAAUAUGGUCAAAAUUAGUCCCCUCCAACAACAAAUCUCGACCAUUCAUUUGAUGAAUUUCAAGAUCUUAGCCUUUACAAACUCAAAAUCAUUUUUUUCUUCUUUUAACAUUGUUCAUCUAAUGAUAAUAAAGCUAUCUAAAAAAAUUGGAAAAGAAAAAAUCCUUCUAAGACCUAGAUCUAAACAUUUUAUCAAAAUGGACGGCCUAUGUUAAUUGAGCUUGAAAAAUACUUUUCUAAGUUAUGUUUUCAAAUUAUUUUUUUUUGUGACUGUUCAUUAGAAUGAAAAAAAAUAUAUAUUUUAAAAUUUGGAUCAGACAAAUGAUCCUAACAUGAUUUUUAAAUAUUGGUGCAUUAUAUUACUAUAUGACCGUUGCAUGAAAUCACUACCCUCCAAAUUUAUUGCCACUUAAAUUCUAAAAACUCCAACUCAUUUAUUGAAAUUCAGCUCUCGGUUAACUUUUCAAUUCAACAUUCAAAAGGAAACUUUUGUACCUGUUUAUUGAAUGGCAUCCCCAAGUCAACUUUCAAUCUAAAAGAAACUCCUAAAUAUUCCUAGUAAUUGUUAGAACUUCAACCCUUUUAAGUCAAAUUCUAAGUAUUCAUUACAUUUUAGCUCCCUUGGAAAGCCUUGCCUAAGGGGGUGGCAACAGGUUGGAUCCGGGUCCAGACCCAAAAAAAUGACAUGGGACAUGGCCUGGACCCUAGCAGACGUAGAACUGGACAUCAAAAUAUAGUAUGGGACUCGAACCCAGACCUGAUUUGACCCAAAAAUUAAAAUAUCUAUGUAUUUAAUAGAAUACCCAGACCUGAACUCGACUCCCAACUUGGGUCUGGGUCCAUUGCCACCCGUACAAUGGCCUCAAGGCUAGAAAUUGGGGAAGCAUGGAGUGAAUGUCAGCUAUCGCUCUUAAGGGGAGUUUUUGAGUUCCAUGCCCUUCCAAUUAGUACCUAAGUUAUUUAUUUUUAAGGGAUCAUACAUGGAAAACUGGGUGAAUCAUUGAUGAUCAGACAACUCUAACCCAUGCAUCCAAUGACUUUGUAAGCCUUGAAGCAAGCCUCUCGGUGCACAAAUUGCCAUUAAUGCUUGGUGAUAUGGUUGCAACCUUAAGAAGACUAUGUCAGACGUUAGGAAUCCUCUCUCAACUCAUUUUUUAUCAGUUUUAUUGUUUCAUAUGGUUACGGGCUAACUUUUCUUUCAAAACUUGUAAUUUAUGGUCAUAUUUCCACAACCUUGAGUCAAUAGGCUGGAACAAGGUUUAAAAAAGGGAUCAGUGACCCGGAUCAUCCAUCCAAAAUUUGAAUGGAAUUGGUGAAGCGAUCCAGAUUAGAGAUUGGCCUGUUUCGACCUAAAAGUUUUUUAAAAAAUAAACAAAAAUAUCUAGAAAUAGUGUUUUUAAGUUUCCAAAAAAUUGGGGGUAGUGCAUUAUGUACUAUUAUUAUUUUAUGAAAAUACAUGAAUAUUAAGAUAUCGUUCCCUUAUAUCUGUUGACCAUUAUGUUCACAUCACUAAAAAAAGAGUCCAAAAUAGAGCAAAAAACUAUUAAAAUACAAUUAUAUAAAAAUAUCACCUUACAAAUAUGUAGAAAUUAUUAGUUCAAUUUAAUAAAGUCCAUAAUCAAUAUUUUGUUUUAAAAAAUGGAAAUUAGUGUUAUUUCCAAUUAAUUUAUCGUAUAUUAAUUAAACAUGUUCAAAAUCAUAUUAAAAUUUAUAAAGUUCACUCAUUAAAAUUAAAACAACCCAAUAGUUGUAUUAUAUUUUGAAAAUUAAAUGCGAUUCAAAAGGCGAUACACUUGUAAAUUUAUAUUAUUGUAUGAAUAGAAAUUCUAAAUUUCACCUUGAGAAAAAAUAGUGCUCAAAAUUAUAAAAGUAAAUAAAAGUAAAUUUUUUUUAUGUAAUCACUCCAGUUUAAAAAUUUAAAUGUGGUUGCAUUUAACGAGAGAGUAUCCUAUUUAUCUUCUAAAAUUAUUAUAAUAUUAUUUAAUUAUUAAAUAUUUAAAUGCAGUCGUUUUCAAAGAGAGAGAGAGAGAGAGAGAGAGAGAGAGAGAGAGCAUGCAUACAUAAAAGCUUAGUUUAAGAGAUUUCUAGAUUGUUCUUUCUCCACAAGAUGGUUCAAUCAAGAAGUGAGUGAACCAUGUCUAUCACGAAGAGAGAAAAAGUAGGACGAUAACCAACUAGAGUUAUUGCAAUCAUAGAGAAAUCCACCAUUUCUCUCCAAUUGAAUAAACAAAGCCCAAAAAGUAUGUUUUUUCAAUUGAAUAAACAAAACCCAAAAAGUUUAUUUAUUUAUUUUUGUUAAAUUAGACAAUGCCCGCUCAUGAAAAUUAAAUUAACAAAGCAUCAUUGGUUAUGAUUUUAUUUAUUUAUUGAAAUUAGACUGUAAUAUCUCAUUACUGAUAUGUUGACAAUUUGAGAUUCAGAACUCAAGAAAUAAUUUUCUUUCUUUAUUUACAAAGUUGGCGCCAUUUUUUUGAGAAACCAUAUCCACAAAUGUGUUGGGAAGCAAUUCCCUUUCUUUCUAUGUGUGAAUCAAAGGUAAAAACAUAUCUUAUGUUUUACAAAUACUGAAAAUAGGCAAUUUGCUACUUGCAAAGUAAAUGGAAAUCACAAAUCACAAAAGGGAAAAGGAAAUUUCCACCAAACACAAUCACAAUAACACAAGAUAUAAUGUGGAAAACCCUUCAAUAUGAAGAGAAAAACCACUGGGCAAAUCCGAGAAAUCUACUAAAAACAAACAAAAAAUACAAGAUUACUCCACAAGCAUCAUAAGGAUAAUCUCUUUCCCACAUAAAAAAAAACCCAAAGAUGGUUUUCCAAUGGCUUGGAGAAGCAGACGCAGAGCACACCAACUGUUCCUGUUUUCCAGCUGAGUGUAGAGUGUGGCAAAUAGAAAAAAUGACCUUUGCACCAACUGUUCUUAUUUUCCAGCUGAGUGUAACAAAUAACAAAAAUGACUUCUGGAAUGGCCUAUCGAGAUGCUCUGGAAUGACAUAUCAAGAUGCUCACCAAUGGAUGAAGGGUACUCAGUGGUGGAGGGUGCUCGCUAGUGGAGAUGGUCGCUCAUGGAGGUCAUCGAAUGAAAAGUGCUACCCUCUACCUGUUCUCUACGGUAGUAAAAAAAAACCCCUGUUGGGUUUUGUCUGGGUUUUAACUUUUAAACACCUAUAUGUUCUCUCUCUAACCUUUUCUUAUUUUAUGGGGUCCUUUUUUUUUUCUUUUUACUACUUAUGAGGCUGGACCCACAAGGUAAUCACCCAACAAAAUGAGCUAAAACACUUUUAUUAAUUCAAAACCAGCUAACUAAUAUAUACAGAGUUCUAAAAAAAACCUAUUUAGACAAUACCAAAAUCCAUUAUAAAAGUCUUUUUCUUUUUUUUUGAAUUUUUAUAAUUAAUUUUUUAAAGAAGGAAAAGUAAGUUGAAUUGUGUACAAAAUUAAUGUGUCAAUUUAUAAAAUGCUUCAUCUUAAUUGGAUACAACUUACAUUGUACACGAUUCCAUAAUCAACUAAUUUAUGAAAAUCUUCUCCAUCUAUUUCGUUUUUCACUACCAGACUUAAUUCAUCCAUUCAACUAUAUUUAUGCCUUGAAAUUCCAAAAAUGUAAAAUGUUCUAUAUUUGCAGGAAUAAUACAAAAAUAUUUAUAAAAUAUUAUAGAAAAAACAUGGAAUUCAAAAUGAACUGGUGGAAUCACCAAGGUUGGUUGCUGGUCGUAUGGUAAAGGAUAGCAUGUGGCAACCAAGUAAGAAAUAGAACAAGAGAUGUAAAAAGCAGAGAGGGAAAGAGGGAGAGAGAGAGAGAGAGACGCGUUUUGUGUUGAUUUUUCUAUUUUCAGAGCUUUUGUGUGCUUUACAUGCCAAUCUCAAACCGGAUGAUUGACACUAUAUCAUUUUUUCUACAAAAAUACAAAACUUAAAACGUUCAACGUACGUUCUAUAAUCGUAUAAAAGAAGAAUGAAUUAUGCACUAAACUUAAAAGAAAUCAAUAAAUGUCAUUCCAAAUAUAUAUAACGUACAAGUGAUCCUCACCAAGUUCUUAUAAGAGUAACAAGAACCUCAUAAACCAACCAAACCAAUUAUGAAUUAGGAGUAUUUCUCAAAGGAAAUAACUCGAAAAGAAUAAGUAAGAGAGAAAAAUAAAUAAAUCCUCUCGAUAAAGUUUCGAUUGAGUUUAGAGUAACAAGAACCUCAUAAACGAAUUCGAGAAGAAUGAGUACAAGUAGUUAAUCAAAUGGUUAGUCUGUUAAAGAGAGGGAAAAGUGGUUAAUUAAACAGGACUUACUAACUAUCAGUUCAUUCUAUGGAUCACAUCUAACAGAGAAUCACAUUUAACAGAGAAUCCAUGUUGAGGGGCUUUGUCAAGUGGAAGUGCAUUCCGGAUUGAAUUGAUUUGCUCGUUUCUUCUCGCAUGGCAUGAGAUGAGAUAGCUACAAUUGGAACGUGAAUCCCAUAACGACUCUCCUCCUCACGAAUCCUUCUUGUUGACUCGUAUUCAUUCAUGAUUGGCAUCUGAAAUACAUGUGGACGUACCCAUUUCACUAGAAUUAGUGUAAGUGUUUCCAUGCAUGCUUAAGUUUAAGCACGUAUUGUAUUUUUUUUUGUAAAUAUUAAUAUGGGAUUAUCUACAAAAAAAGACUAUUGAUCUUUUUUUGCAAUUCGAGAUUUACAAUUUUCUUUCUAUAUUUACAAAGUUAACUCCAUUUCUUGAGAAACCAUAUUCAUAAAUGAGCUAAAACACUUUUAUUAAUUCAAAACCAACUACUAAUACAUAACCAGAGUUCUAAAGAAAACCAUUUUAGACAAGGGUGUCGUUUCUAUAAAGUUGUAACCUUAAACAAUUUAAGUUAAGGCGCACCUUUAAAUUUUAUCAUAACAUAUAAUUUUGAUGUAAAAUAUCUUUAGGAUUAUCUCAAAAUCUAUUUUUAUAUCUAAUUAUAAAAUUAUAAACUCCAAAAAUAGUUAAAAUCAAGUAGAUCUAUAAACAUAUGAAAAUCUUAAAAUGGACGUUCUUGAUAAUAUGUUGUAAGAUGUACUAUUUUUGAGACACAAAAUCUAUUUAUUUUUCAUAGUCAUACAUCUUGAUAUCGAGAUGAUUAAUCAGAGAGUUUUUCAACAUUAAAACAACUUUUUCCUAUGGAUUUUUGAAGUUCAUCCUAGUUCUACAUUUUAGGGUUGCAAUCUUAUAUAAACUUUCUCCUUUAGACAAUACCAAAAUACAAUAUUUCAUAUAUAUAUUUUUUCAUUUUUUCCACUAUUUUUUUUUUUUUUUUCCAUUUUUUUUAAAGGGAAGAUACUUUCAAUUGUGUACAAACUUAAUCCAUCAUGUCACAAGAUGCACCCUAAUUCCUAAUUUGAUGCAACCUGCAUAGUACACGGUUUCAUAAUCAACUAAUUUAUGAGAAUCUCCUCCAUUUAUUUAAUUUUUCACUACCGGACAACUCUAUUUAUAUCUUGGAAUUCUAAAAAAAUAAAAUAUUCUAUAUUUGCAGAAAUAAUACACAAAUAUUCGUAAAAUAUUUUCAGAAAAUCCGACAUUCAAAAUGAACCUGUAGAAUAACCAAGGUUGGUUGCUGGUCGCAUGGGAAAGGAUAGCAUGUGGCAACCAAGUAAGAAAUAGAACAAGAGAUGUAAAAAGCAGAGAGGGAAAGAGGUAGAGUGAGAGAGACGCGUUUUGGGUAGAUUUUCCUAUUUUCAAAGCUUUUGUGUGGUUUAUAUGCCAAUCUCAAACCGGAUGAUUGAAACUAUAUCAUUUUUUCUAAAAAAAAUAAAAAAAUUAAAACGUGCAACACAAUUUUACGUCCAGUGGUGGUAUAAAAAAAGAAGAAUGAAUUAUGCACUUAUUUAACCUUAAAGAAAUUAAGGAAUGUCUCGUUCCGAAAAUAUAAAAUAUAUAGCGUACAAAUGAUUCUCACCAAGUUCUUAUUAUACAAUCCUGCAAAGAGAGAAAAAUAAAUAAAUCCCCUUUGAUAGAGCUUCAAUUGAGCCAACUUUGUGAAACUCAUGAUCUCUGAUGUGAGCUUCAAUUGAGCCAACCUUUUGAUGCAGAUAAGAAUUCCUUUUGUUAAAUUCCUUGUUGACCAGAACCUCAUAAGGUGGUUAAUCAAAAAGUGGAGUUACACAGUUAAAAGAACCUCAUAAGGUGGUUAAUCAAAAAGUGGAGUUGCACAGUUAAAAGAAAGGGAAGAGUGGUUAGUUGAAUGAGGAGUUACUAUCUGUUGAUUCUAUUGAUAGCAUCUAAGAGAGAAUCCAUUUGGAGGGGCUUUGUCAAGUGGAAGUCCAUUCCUGAUUGAAUUGAUUUGUUUGUUUCUUCUGGCAUGACAUGAGCUGAGAGAGCUAUAAUUGGAAUGUGAAUCCCAUAACGCCUCUCCUCUUCUCGAAUCCUUCUUGUUGCCUCGUAUCCAUUCAUAAUUGGCAUCUGAAAUACAAAUUGACAUAUUCAACUCACUAGAGUCUAGUGUUAGUGUUUCCAUGCAUCGUAUAUAUUUUUAUGAAUACUAAUAUUUAGAGCACAUGUCCCUAUUUCUUUAGGUAUAUGUUUGUAUCUACGAUAUAUAUGCAUUAGUAUAUGUUUGUAUCUAUGCAUGUUGUAUAGAUGUGUUUAUGAACAAUAAAUAAAUGUGUGUACAUAUCUGAAUGUAUGUUACGUAUGCAUGUUUCACUAUACAUAAAAAAUGAUAGUCUUAAGCAAUUACCUCACAAUCCAUUAGAAUAAUGUCAAAUGGAGAACUUGAGGAGUCUUCAUGAAUCUCAUGAAUUUCUUUUGAAGCACUUUCUUUACCUCGGAGAGCCUUGAUGACCCGGUUCAGAGCAUCUUCUCCAUUUUCACAUAUUUCAACCAAAGCACCUAGACGAGAAAGAUUAGCCGUUGCUAAUCGCCGCAACAAUAUAUUAUCUUCCACAACUAGUACUUUCAUGCCAUCAAAAUUCCCUCUAAGCCUUGUACUUGAGCUAGCUGCAGGCAUGACAUCAAUUUUUACUGUUUGUGAUGAAUCACUGUCAUUUUCUUCCCAUGGAUCUUUCACAAGUUGAAGAACUUUAUGUAAGCGAGACCAAUGAAAUGGUUUGCGUAAAACAAGAUUGCAUGGAACUUGCCCACUUUCCAGAACUUCCAAAUCUUCACUUGAGGUAAUGGGCGUAGUUAACCAAACAACCUUAAAUUGUAAAUUAUUUAUGCUUCUAAUGAAAUCAGAUAUUAUUAAAGAGAGUUUCGAAAAUGGCCCACAAGCCAUAUCUAUAACCAUUAAAAUACAAGCAUUUUCAAUAUUGAAUCUGGUACUAUGAUGAACUAGGUCAAUGUGGCUAGUAGAACGUUUCAAAACUCUUCUGGUAAGGAUGUCCAUUGAGUGAUCGCUUCGAUAGCUAUCUACUGAAUUCAAUUCUAAGCUUUCCAAGGAUCUAAAGCUGCUUAAAAACAAUUCACUUUUUAGCCUUUCCAAUGUACCAAACAAAUCUUCCAACCCGUCCGACAUCCAAACUUUAAACCCUUGAUUACUCAUCCAUUUUUGAGAAAUUUGUCUGGGGACCUCCCCUUGGAUUAAGAGUACUGUAUGUGCUACAAGACCUCCUAAUGCAUUUGUUUGUCCUAGGUUCAAAUCAAAUCGCUCUGUACCUCUUAAGAAAAUAUUGAAUUUAAAGCAAGUCCCCCUUUCCCCUGGCUCUUUGUCUUUGAUAUGGAUAUCUCCACCCAUGAGACGUACCUGGAACAAAUUUCCGCAAAUAAAAAAUCAACCCUCUAAAUGCACAUCUAUUCUUUUAAACAUAAAUUGAUGAUAUUGAUUUCAAAAUUUAUAUUCCAUGAAUUGGACUAUGAAAAAUACAUAGUCCAUGGGUAAUCACCUUCCAAAGAUGCAAAGGAUAGAGACCAUAGGAUCCACUACUUAUUAUGUUUCCUAUAUUUUACAUCAUCAUCUAUUAAAUUGGAAAUUGAUAACCAAAAAAAUAAUACCUUUUCAGAUAUGAUUCCAAAAUUGGAUUCUAUUUGAGUUUCUUCAAUCAAUCAAUCAAGAUUGGAGAGUAACUUGGGAAACUAUAUGCAAUGAGAGUAUCAUGUGCCAAAAUAGAAUAACAGUAAAAUAUGGGGCUAUUCCAAAUGAAGGAAAAUACUGUCUAGUAAAACAUUGACAUAUUAUAAAUGAAGGCAACAUACUCUAGUCAACUCACUCAGACUGACUUGGUAAACUACAACCAACGACUAUCAUAUGCCAAGUAAAAUAUCCAUAAAUAUGGUUUGUUAUAAAGGAAUGCAUUAGAUUCUAUUCAAGAACAAAGGCACAAGCACUUAAGCACUUACCAAGGAUUUAACUAUGCCAAGUCCCAAACCAGUGCCCUGAAUAUUGUUAGGUACUGAUUCUUUAACUUGAAUAUAAUUCUCAAAUACUGUUUCGUGCUUAUCCUUUGGAAUGCCCUUUCCUGAGUCAUCCACCUCACAAAUAAAUUCCAAGGAAUCUGAAUCCGCUUGAACAACAUUAAACUCAUAGGCUUCAUCACUAUCACUUAACCAUCUCAUAAUACAACCCCAUGAAUUGAAGAAAUAACCCUUAUGAUGAGAGUUAGCUAUCGAUGCUUUUGAGAUCAUGAUCGGUUUCUUGAUCAAAGCACGAACCACAAUAUGACCCUCUGUUGUGAAUUUCACGGCAUUACUAAGCAAGUUACUCAAAACCUGCUUAAGUUUUCCACAAUCACCUUUUACAUGGCGGUAUCUUUCAACUGUACCAUCAUAGAGAUCCAUGAUAACCUCUACACCAUUCUUAAUGGCAAGCCCAUAAAAAAUAUCAGCCACUUCCUCCAUGGUUUCAGCAAGAUCAAACUCUCCCUCCUCCAACUGCAUCUUGCCCGCCUCUAUCUUACUAGCAUCUAGAACAGAAUUCAUGAUUGCUGGACACCAAUUAAACAGAAAACACAAAAACAUUAAUAUAAGUACAAUUGCCUAUAAAUGGAAAAUGCUUAUGUAAUAUUCAAUACUAACUAAAUCAAAGUAUUAUUCAAUAUUCAUUCUAAUGGUUAAUUAUUGCAAAUGUUAAAUAAUUCUAAGAAGGGGGAGCAAAAAAUAAUCCAAUGGACUAUAGAUGACUACAGUACACUGGGUCAUUAUCGUCUACUGUAGUCCACACCAUUAGAUUAUAAUAAUCUCUCCCAUCAUAAAUAAAUUCCAUAAUCCAAUACAUAGUUGUUUCCAAACUUACCAAGCAUAUUUGUUGCACAAGAAUUCAUCUGCUCCAAAUUGGAAUCAAGCUCCAAAGUUUUCGAGGGAAUUCUUCGACAUAGUUCAAUUAUGCUAAUGAUGGCUGCAAUCGAUGUGCGUAUAUCAUGCGUUGCCAUGGCCAAAGCAUGGUCCAUGUUAAUGAUCUUCCUUUCAGCUUGUCGGUUCACUUCCAUGUGCUUUACAAGAGCAGCACACAACCGCAUUUCUCUUCUUGCUGCUCUGUAAAACAAGAACAUACAGAAACAGAAGGCGAAAACCACAAUGGCGAGCAUGCCAUACAGUAGAAUCAACAUUCCCAUGUUGCACUUCCUUAAAACAUCUAUGAGAUUUGUGCAGUUACAUUCCAUUGUAGAAACUGCAAUACACACUUAAACGAAAUCAAUAACUAAUCAAGUCAAUUAUCAAAAAGAGAUAAACGAAACUAGAGUCUCAGAUCUAUCUAGUGAAGAAAUGAAGAAAUGAGUUUCAUAAAUUCCAUUGAGGUUCUAUAAACCCCAAAUAUUGAUUUAAACACGGCCAGAAAUCCAAAUCUAACCUAGUUUCAGAAACUCAAAAUACUGAUUAAACACAUUUUAUCAGCCAUAGACAUUGGAUCAAUGACACAAAAUAAUGGUUAGAGCCAAGUACUGAUUUCAAUAUCAGGACAAAAUAAUGGUUAGAGCCAAGUACUGAUUUUCAAUAUCAUGACAAAAUAAUGGUUAGAGCCAAGUACUGAUUUCAAUAUCAGGAACACAAUAGUUAUAGGUUCCAAUUUAAGGCCCCAAAUCCAAAUUUCUGGUUCAAAAAUGUUUCACUUUGGGUGAAACCAAUGGUGAUUUUGAACGUGUAUCUUAAAAGGCUAAGUAGAAAUUUAGAUAUAAUUACAUAUUCUAUAAAAUAAUAGAACCAAAUACAAGCCAGUUCUUGAAAGACCUCAAAGUUGCAACUGAAAGAGCCAUAUACUGGUUAAAUCUGUUCUAGAAGAACAAAAUUCGUAGUUGUAACUUGUAGGAGAGACUCUAAAGAGAAAAGACAAAAAUAUUCUAAACAAAAAUUCAACAACCACAAUCUACUGUUUUGGAAGGUGAUAUCAUAAACAAUGAAUCAUAAAAGUAGUGAUCAAAAUAUUAAAAGAAUGAAAGAUUAUGAAAAUUGUGGCAAUUAUUGACUCCAUUUUGAACGUUUCCUAUUUGGAAGGAACCCAAAUCCUGUCAAGCAUAAAAUUCUGAAACAUUUCCAAUUUGGAAGAAAAUAAAAAGUCUUAAAGCACAAGUUACAAAAACCUUCUCGCACAGGAAACCAGUGAGUGAAUGAGAGAGGGAGAGCUAUGCCUCUCUACUCUUUCUCUUUUUUCUUUUUUUUCUUUUUUUUUUUUUUCGGGGAGAGAGAUGGAAAGGCAGUGAGCGAGAGCAAGAGUGAUGAGAAAUAAGGAAUGUAAGAGAGAGAGAGAGAUUGUUACACAGCGAUAGAGAGGUAUGGUGGGUAAAAGACGUACCCCUUCACCAGUUUUUUAUACUUGCUCUUCUUUCAACUUGUAGAGAGAGAGAGAGAUUGUGUUCAUGGUUAACUGAUUAAAAAGCUGGUGAAUUUAAACCAUCUUUUGAAACCCCUUAAAAAUUGAGGUGCAAUGAUAAUACUAACUGUUAAUCACAGAGGUUAAGACAACUUAAUAUACGUACUAUUCACAAUACCCUUUCAAACACAGAUAUAAUACCUAACAAUGAAUUUGUGUGCCAUAUAUUUUAUUUGCUUAACUUAGGAUGAUGAAUUAAAUCGCAUGAUACUGUUCCCUCUCCUCCACACCAAUUUUUAUUCUCUCUUAUUCCCCUUUUAGUAACUUCUUUCUCUCUCCUUUGCCACGCCUAAAUCUUCCUAUAUCUCUCCCCAUUUCUCUCUCAUUGCCAUUAAUGCAUCCUUUCUAUUUCUCUCUCCUCCUUUUGCACUCAUUUUUACCCAGCUUGGCAAUAAUAUUUCCCUCUUCUAUGCUCCCUUGAUUUAGCAAGAAGUUAUAGUGGCGUGCUUAUUGGGUAGUCUUGUAUUUAAAGAUAAUACAGGCAUACUACAUUUCAACAAAAAUUAAUAAGGUAAAUCUUGUAUUCAAGUUCUAUAGUGAUUAUUUCUUGUAAUGCCUAUUUGUCCCUUGUUAUCUUGCAAUAAGAGCCAUUGAUUUUGUUUAAUUCAAGAAAAAGCUUUUAAAGUUAUUAUCAAUCUUAAUACUAUAAGGAAUCUUUGCAUAUCUAUCUCACUUCUAUUAGUAUCUUUAUGUAAUAAAUUUUUUGUGCAUGGGCGUGCGCACUCGUAUAAUUUUUAUAUCUACUUUUUUUCAAGAGUUAUUUAUGUAUAGACACAAAAACAAAAAAGAAAAUAUAAAAAGCUCUUAUUUUCCGUAAAAAUUACAUGCAAGGUUGGUCAACUCGCGUCCCUUUUUUUUUUUUGCAAGUUUUCUCUCAAACGGCUAACAUCGGACCGGUUUUAAAUUCCUUUUAUUCAUUUUUCUAAGUCCAGAGAUGGCAUGAUGUCCCGAACCUCAGACUGCUUAGUAUAGUGAGCGGUCCAAGGUUCAAGACCUCGGAACACUUUCCUUUAGUCUUGAGGUCCUAAACCUCAAAUCACUUAAACCUUGCCAUGUUAGAAACAUUAGACUAAGGGGCAAUUUAGAAAAAAACGAGGACGCGAGUUGACCGACUUUGUGCGUAAUUUUUGCAAAAAAAAAAAAGAACUUUUUUGUAGUUUACUUUUUAUUUUCGUGUCUGUAUGUAAAUAACUUUUUUCAAUUAAAAUGAGAAACCUAAAUGUAAUUAAUUAUUAUUCACGUAAGUCUUAAGAAAUAAGGAUUAUUUUCCUUGUGCCUGCUCCCGGCUGUUCCAUUCUCUAUCUAUAGUGUAGGGCGUCCUUCCUCUCUCUUUCAUUGCCGAGAAGCAGUGAGCCGGCGGGGCUUCUGUUAGCCCUUCCGGCCAGUUUAAUGGCAAAGAAGAAGCUGUGAAACAGGGGCUUUGCUUUCUAUUAUUCCCCGUGAGGGCUUGCUUCCGUCUAGAAAGAAGGGCCGGCAAUAGCUCCACCCCUACUGCCAGCUUUCUUCCCAGCCUGCUGCUUAUGAAAGAGAAGAGCGUUUAUCAUGCCACAAUACACAGGAGAUAAAUCCUCUAUAAGAUGAAAAAAAUGUCACAAACUAUAUGGAUUCUCUUAAUUUUUUAUUUUCAAGUGAGAAAAAAAGGAUAUGCCACUUUUAAAAUUUUUUUGUGAUGAAUUUGAUUGUUAAGAUAAAUUUGAGUAAAUUAAUUAACACGUAACAUACAAUUUGAUUGGUUGCGCCUAUGGAUGCUCAGACUGUGGACAAGUCCAGGGGCCAACAAAAUGUAUUAUUGGGAGGUUCUGAAGUUUAGGUUCAGUGUCUGCAAAAUUAGAUAUAAAAGUUGAUAACAUAACAUUCAAGUUAUGUAAUGUAACAGACAAGUUAGGUUUGGCAUCUACAAUUGAGAUAAUAUAACAUACAAGUCCAUCAUAUUGUAAUCCAUCACCCACAAAGUUCUACUAAAAACUCAAAUUUUAACCCUUUUCCUUUGAAAGUACUCAUUUAAAUGUAGAUAGCUUAGUACUCAUUUAAAUGUAGAUAGCUAAAUUUUAGCUACAUAAAAUACUAUUAGGGCCUAUUUGGAUAAGAGGGAAUUAAGAAAUUUGAUAUCCAAGGUCAUAUAUAUUUAAAAUCCAAAGAAAUCUAUAGAUUUUUUAUGUCAAGGAUUUCUAUCAUGGAUUCCUCAAAUCUCUUGUUUACAUACACUAUACAAAAUUCAUGGAUUCCUUGCAAUCACUUCUAUGUCCAUUGUUUUGUAACAUAACUUGAUACAAUUUCUCGUUUUAAAAAUUUUAUAUACUUUCUCUCUCUAAAACUCAAAAUUUAGGAUAUUGUAUCUAUAAAAAAAGUUUUAGACAAUUUCUCUCUCUAAAAUUUGAUAUGGUUUCUCUCUCUAAAAUUUAAUAUACUAUCUAUCCAAAUUUAAAAUUUGAAAUUGUCUACCUAAAUUUUUUAUAUAAUUUCUCUCUAUUAAAUUUUUAGGUGCUUCACUCUCUCUAAAAUUUAAUAUAGUUUCCCUUUCUAAAAUUUUAAGAUUCUCUCUCUCUAAAACUUAAAACUUGAGAUAGUUCGCCUCUUCAAUAAUUUUGAGAUAAUUUCUCUCUCUAAUCAUUUUCAAGUAGAUUCGCACUCUAGAAUAUGAUAUAAUUUUUCCCUCAAAUUUUAAGAUACUUUCUCUUUCUAAAAGGCAAAAUUUUAGAUAAUUUCUCUCUAAAAAUUUUGCGAUAGUUUCUUUUUCUAAAAAAUUUAUGUAAUUCUCUCUCUAAAAUUUGAUAUAGUUACUCUUCAAAAUUUUAAGAUGCUUUCUCUUUCUAAAACUUCAAGUUUGAGAUAGUUUCUCUCGUUAAAAAUUGAUAUAAUGUCUCUCUAAAAUUUGAUAUAAUUUAUCUCUCUAAAAUUUUAAGAUACUUUCUCUCUCUAAAUUUGGCGAUAGUUUCUCUCUCUAAAAAAAUUUGAGAUAGUUUCUAUCUCUAAAAAUUUUUAAGUAGUUUUUCUCUUUAAAAUUUGAUAUAAUUUCUAGCUGUAAAAUUUUAAUAUGAUAUAGUUUUUCUCUCAAAUUUUAAUAUACUUUAUCUUUCUAAAAGGUAAAAUUUUAGAUAAUUGAUCUCUAAAAAUGUUGCGAUAGUUUCUUUUUCUAGAAAAAUUUAUUUACUUUCUCUCUUGAAAAUUUGAUAUAGUUACUCUUUCAAAUUUUCAGAUGCUUUCUCUUUCUAAAACUUCAAGUUUGAGAUAGUUUCUCUCGUUAAAAACUGAUAUAGCGUCUCUCUAAAAUUUGAUAUAGUUUAUCUCUCUAAAAUUUUAAGAUACUUUCUCUCUCUAAAUUUGGCGAUAGUUUCUCUCUCUAAAAAAUUUGAGAUAGUGUCUAUCUCUAAAAAAUUUUAGGUAGUUUCUCUCUUUAAAAUUUGAUAUAAUUUCUAGCUGUAAAAUUGUAGUAUAUUUUCUCUCUAUAAAAUUAAAUAUUCGAGAUAGUUUCUCUCUAAAAGUCUAAAUUCAAGAUAGUUUCUAUUUAAAAACCGAGAUAUUUCUCUCUCUAAAAUUUUUUGGCAAUUUCUCUUUCUAAAAUUUAUAAUAGAUUCUCUCUAAAAGUUUGAUUAUACUUUCUCUCUCUACAAUUUUAAGAAUACUUUCUCUCUAAAACUUCAGAUUUGAUAUAGUUUCUCUCUCUAAAAAAUUUUGAGUUAGUUUCUAUCUCUAACAUUUUAGGUAUUUUUUCUAAGAUGUGAUAUUGUUUCUCUCUCUAAAAAUUAUAAUAUGAAACUCUCUAAAAUUUUUGAAACAGUUUCUCUCUCUAAAAUUUUGAGAUAGUUUCUCUCUAAAAAAAAAUUGGUGUUUUCUCUCUCUAAAAUUUUAACAUACUCUCUUUAUCUAAAAGUUAAAAUUUGAGAUAGCUUCUCUCUCUCUAAAACAUGAUAGUUUCUCUCUAAGACUUAAUAUUUGAGAUAGUUUCUUUCUAAAAUUUUAAGAUAGUUCGUCUAUCUAAAAAAAUUGGUAUUUUCUCUCUCUAAGUUUUUUAACAUUCUUUCUCUCUCUAAAUUUUAACAUACUUUCUUUGUCUAAAAGGUAAAUUUUGGUAUAGUUUUUUCUCUAAAAUUUGAAGAUAGUUUCUCUCUUUAAAAAAUUUAGGUACUUUCUCUCUCUAAAAGUUAAAUUUUGAUAUAGUUUUCUCUCUAAAAAUUUUGAGAUAGUUUUUCACUAAAAAAUUGGUAUUUUGCAUACCUACCAAAUGCUCCCAUUGUUUUGUUUUGGGUCGAGGGAGCCAAUGAAAUCCUUGGGCCUUGGAAAUUGAAAAAAACAAGUGCUGGUAUAGAAAUGAAAUCAUGAAAAAAUAGGUUUCUUGAUUUUAAGUAUCCUAGUCAUUAACUAGAUGGAUUUUGACAAUAUCCAAGAUAGUAGGAAUCCAUACCUUAAAAUCCAUAGGUAUCUUUCUUUAUAAAUCAAGUAUAGCAUUGUUCCUAAAGGAGCACUCUAGAAUAUAUUUUAUGCAUAUGAGUGAUCAACAUUAAAACAACCUAUCCAUUGGAUUUUUGAGGUGCAUCCGUAACUCUACAUUAUAAGGUUGCAACCUUAUAUAAACUUUUUCCUUUUUUUAAAUAACAAAUGUCUAAAGAUAUUAUUCAAUAAUGUACAUAGUAUCAUUACUCUCGUAGGAUCAUUACUCUCAAAGAAAGAAUAUACCAGGUACAAAGUAUAUUUAUUUGAAAUUGGCAUUACAAUGUUAUAUUUAAUAAUUAAAUAUUCAAAAUAGCAUGAAAUUUUAAUUAUGCAUUAAAAUUUAAAACAGAUCAUUAUUUCUAUAAUAUUUUUUAAAAAGUCAAAUUUGUAAUGAAAAGUUAUAUUAAAAUAUAUAAUUAUUUUGAAAAAUUUUUCCAACUAAUUGGGCUUGGCUACAUCAAUCUUGGUCUGCCAUUCCCUCAAUGAAGAAGUAUCACAGAUCUCAAAUUCGUUUUGGCACAAUCUUAGGUUGCCUGCCUACCUAACACAAUGUACCUCUCUAUAGAUUGAGCAAAUCUAUGAAAACUCGAAUCACUUAAACAUUAAUUUUCAAUUUAAAAAAUACUAAACACUUAUCAUAUGACAGAACAUGCCAUAGAGCUAAUUUUGGCAUUUCUCACAUUCACAGGCACACGUAAGGACAAUAAAAGCUUAAAUAUUUAUCAUUACUUUUAAUUUCUAGCUUUACCGAUACUCUUAUGCUAAAAGACCAUGAAAUCCCAUUUUUGCGAAUACUAAAAUGUUUCACUAAUUUUAUAGUUUCCUCUACUACAGGUUAUUUAAUAAAUAUAUUAUUUUAACCAAAUCUACUGAAAAUAUUUAUGAAAUAUUUAAAAAUUAUUUAUUAUUUUAACAAAAUAUCCUGAAAAUAUUUUCUAAAUAUUUUUUAAAAAAAUCCUCUGUAAAUAUUUACAUGUUUAUAUUUUUAUAGAAGAGAUUAACUUUUUUAAAAGAUUCAUAAUUAAAAUAAUUUCAUUUGAUGAGCACAAUUCUAGAAGGUAAGUUUUUUAAUAUUUGAUUGGUAAAUAUAAUUUAGUUUAGCAUCAUAAUUAUAAAUAGCAUUUUUUAACAAAUGCACAUUAUAAUUUUUUUAGGUUGAACAAUUAUUUGUGAUUCACAUUAUAACCAUAUUUAAAAUUCAAAUUUAGUAAAUCCAUAAUUAGAAUUUAAAAGGUGUAAAUAAUUUAUUAGAAUAUUUUUUUGGCAUUAAAAUUUAUAAUUUGAUAUUAACUUUAAUAUGAGUAAUGAUCCUAUGAGACCCUCCCAUACCUAUGUGUGUAGGAUCUCAAAUGAUCACCAUUAAAUUUGGUACAGAUCUCUAGAAAUUCAAGUCACACACCCAUGUGAUAACCUUUUCAGAGAUCUGUGCCAAUUUAACGGUGAUCCUUUGGGGUCCUAUAUAUAUGGUUGUGUAAAGGACUCAUAUGAUCAUUACUCAUUUAAUAUUAACAAUUUUAAGACAACUUUUAGUAACUAAAAUUUAUUUAUUAAAAUAACACUUUUAAAGAUGUGAUUGAUAAAUUAUUAUUUAAUUUAUAAUUAUUAUUAAUUGAAGGGAAUACAUAGAAUCAUGCACGUUUUCAAUUACUCAUCCAUUACUUUAUGCGAUCAAAUUAGGAGGUAAGCCCAAAUUUCUAGAUAAAAAAUAGUCUCAAACCAUAUAAUUUAUAGAAUGAUUUGAUCACAAAGACUUGAUAUAUUAUAGCUCGUGGAGUGAUAGGAAUUCUCAUAAGUCUCCUAAUUACCAUAUAGCUUUAAACCCUUCUUUCUCCUAUUAAAAUAAAAUUUCCUUUAUGUAUAAAUUUAAAUCUAAUUUAAUUUUAUAUUAUUUUUAUCAAUUAAGUUCCAGGCCGAUAUGUGCGUAUUCACGAGCAUGCAUGUGUAUAUAGGCAAGGAGAGAGAGAGAAUUAGGUAAGUAGUAAAUCCUCUUGAGCGUGUCUAGCUUUUGUGAAAAAAAAGGGGAAAAUAUCUCCAUACCUUUUAUUUUUAAGUUUCAUUUUCCAUUAGACUCAAAGUUUUAAAACAUAUCUUGGGGUAUAAAAAUUUUAGAUUUUAUUUCUUCUAACCCAUAAGCUAAUUUAAAACUGUUUUUCUAGGCUAAACAAAUCUAAAAAGACAUACCUUAUCUAAAAGUUAUCAUCCCAAACCUUUAGGGUAUUUUUGAUAGCAAGAAGUAAGUUCCUGGAAGUAAGAAGUUAUCUAUUACUGUUCAUGUUAUGUAUUUGAUAAAAAAGUGGAAGAUAAUUUGAUAACUCCCCUUUACGAUUGAAAUUUCCAUCUUUUAGGCUUGAAUAAAGUUCAAUGGUAAACCAUGGAACUUGAAAAGGGAACUUUUUAUUUUAUCCUAUGAUAUAUAAAAAUGUAUAUACUUUUAUUGUAUAUAUACNNNNNNNNNNNNNNNNNNNNNNNNNNNNNNNNNNNNNNNNNNNNNNNNNNNNNNNNNNNNNNNNNNNNNNNNNNNNNNNNNNNNNNNNNNNNNNNNNNNNNNNNNNNNNNNNNNNNNNNNNNNNNNNNNNNNNNNNNNNNNNNNNNNNNNNNNNNNNNNNNNNNNNNNNNNNNNNNNNNNNNNNNNNNNNNNNNNNNNNNNNNNNNNNNNNNNNNNNNNNNNNNNNNNNNNNNNNNNNNNNNNNNNNNNNNNNNNNNNNNNNNNNNNNNNNNNNNNNNNNNNNNNNNNNNNNNNNNNNNNNNNNNNNNNNNNNNNNNNNNNNNNNNNNNNNNNNNNNNNNNNNNNNNNNNNNNNNNNNNNNNNNNNNNNNNNNNNNNNNNNNNNNNNNNNNNNNNNNNNNNNNNNNNNNNNNNNNNNNNNNNNNNNNNNNNNNNNNNNNNNNNNNNNNNNNNNNNNNNNNNNNNNNNNNNNNNNNNNNNNNNNNNNNNNNNNNNNNNNNNNNNNNNNNNNNNNNNNNNNNNNNNNNNNNNNNNNNNNNNNNNNNNNNNNNNNNNNNNNNNNNNNNNNNNNNNNNNNNNNNNNNNNNNNNNNNNNNNNNNNNNNNNNNNNNNNNNNNNNNNNNNNNNNNNNNNNNNNNNNNNNNNNNNNNNNNNNNNNNNNNNNNNNNNNNNNNNNNNNNNNNNNNNNNNNNNNNNNNNNNNNNNNNNNNNNNNNNNNNNNNNNNNNNNNNNNNNNNNNNNNNNNNNNNNNNNNNNNNNNNNNNNNNNNNNNNNNNNNNNNNNNNNNNNNNNNNNNNNNNNNNNNNNNNNNNNNNNNNNNNNNNNNNNNNNNNNNNNNNNNNNNNNNNNNNNNNNNNNNNNNNNNNNNNNNNNNNNNNNNNNNNNNNNNNNNNNNNNNNNNNNNNNNNNNNNNNNNNNNNNNNNNNNNNNAUUUUCCACUUUUCGGAUGUACAACAUCCGAAUUUUUGGGAUUUUUGGAUGUUGAACAUUUGAAAUCUUGCGCGCCAAGUUUUCCCGCUUAUUAGCGAAAAGUUAUUAUUUUCAGAUGUUCAACAUCUAAAAAUACCAAAAAUUUACAUUUUCAACGGCGAUUAAAUCUUAUAAAUUCGGAUGUUGAACAUCCGAAAAGCGGCAAACUUGUCUUUUUUAAAAAAUAGCAUUAUAAAAUAUACAAGUGUAAUAACGGAAAGUAUUUGGUAGAUCCAUAAUAACGCAAAGUAUAAAAGAUUUCUACGUAAUUUUAUUUAAAAUUUAUUAGAUAUUUUAAAAAUAUAUAUUAAUAGAAUAAAUAUCAAAUACAAUGUACAAUAUACUAUAUUAUUUUAUGUAAAUACAUAAUAAUAAUAAAAAUAAAAAGUAUGUUAUUAUGUUAUAUAUAUUAUAAAUUUAUGUAAUACAAUAUAUUUUAUUAUACAGUAUAUAAAAUACAAUAUAUCAUAUAUUAUAGUGUGUUAUAAAUAUUAUAUAUUUCUAGUUAAAUUAUUACCAAUAUAAAUAUAAAUGUAAAAUAUUUACCAUAUAUCCCAGGAGUUAUCAAACACAGAAACUAUAAACUUCUCAAAGAAGUUAUCAAAUACAGAAACCAUGAACUUCUUAAGUAAUUUCUAAUUUAGAGUUCUUCAGGAAGUAAGUAAUUUCUAAUUUAGAGUUAUUCAAGAACUUCCAAGUUUUCCAAUUAUCAAAUUGGCCCUUAGUAAGUGAAGGGUUGCCCUUAGAGAGUGAAGGGUUUCAUGGAGGUGACAGGUUGAGGUUAUCUGGAGGAGAGAGAAAGGUGUUUGGAGAAACACGGGAGGAGAGAGAGAGAAAGAGAGAAGUUUGAGGUAUAUAAGUGAAAAGAUAAAAAUGAUUGGGUUUAAAAAAAACAUGGCGUUCUCACAUUUAUUUAGGUUAAAAAUAGGUUUAAAGUGCCAGGGGUUAAAAGAUAUCUUUUAAAAUCUUGGGUUAUCAAGGAAUGAAACCUAAAAAUAAUAGAUGUGGAGAUAUUUUCUCAAAAAAAUCACCUUGUGGGAUUGAGCCAGAGAGAGAAAAGGAGAAAAAGAGAAUGGAAAUAUGCUCUUUUUAAAGAGAGAGAUGGGGGACAGAGAAGAAGAGAUACAAGGUCUAAGAUAGACACAGGGAUGAGAAUAUCGGUAGGGCAUUUAUGAAAGACAAAUCUACAACGUAUUAUAGAAAGGCUACCAUAAAGAACUUUCACUAACUUUUAGGCAAUUCAUUUAAAGAUGCCCCUAUCAACUUUAUAAUGAAACAAUAUAAUUCAGUUUAAAUAAAUUUUACAUUCAUGUUAAUUUUUUUAAAAUAAAUUUGAUACAAGUUUAGUGGGUAGCACAACAUAGUACGCCCACAAAAAGUAAAAAAUAAUAAAUAAAUAAAAAUUCUCUGAAUAGUAAUUUACUUAAGUUUAAUAACAAUAUAAGAAGUAUAAAAAGGGGUUUAGACAGGGGACAAAACCGAUACAGCUAAUUUCUCAGAACUGGUCCGAUCUCGACCGAUUGUCAAUUUUGUUCGAUGAUUCUCGAUUCAGAUCAAAGGGUUUAAAACACAACUUGUGGAAAUCGCCAUAAAUUUUUGACAAAGGUCCAAAAAGGGUUGGUGAUCUUGUUUUUAUAAUAAAUGAGAUCUCGUCGAUCAACCACACUUCAAUAGAGAAAAACAUGGACUCCAAGGAGAAUCAAUAGGUAAAGUAAUAGUUCGACCACAUUUUUAUUUAUGGCGCUUGUAUUGGUUUUUUCUAAUUUUUUAUAUAUUAAUUAAUUUCAAAUAAUUCUAUAAUUUUAUGUUUUAUAGUAAAAAAAAAAAUCUUCAUAAAAUAAAAUGCACGAUUCAAUUUCAAAAUUUUAUAUCGUAAUCAUAUUUAUUCAAGAGAAAACUCUCCACAUGACCCCACCCACAUAUAAAAUAUAUAUGAUCCCUGAUCUCAACAAUUAAAUCAAGUGGAUGGCUAAGAUGGCUUGAGUCACAAUGUCACAUGCUAGCUCUUGAGUGUCAGAUCUUGAUCCUACAACUCAGAAUGUUUUAUUUUUAAUAUUUAGUCUAUAAAUCAUUUUGCAGCAAAAUUUGGUUCAUGCAUAUAUCCGAUAGAGGUGCACAUAAUAAAAAUAAUAAUGAAAUAUUUCUCUUGAUAAAAAAUUAUAUAAAUACCUUUGAAAAUUUUAGGGGUAUUUUAGUCAUGUAUUUUCACUUCUCUUUUUUUUUUUUUCUUUUUUUUUCUGGUGUCUGUCCCUAGGAAGGAGAUGAGCCACCCCAAAUUUGGACCAACAAAUUUUUGUAAAAAAAAAAUUAAAAUCAAAUAGUAGUUCUAUAUAUGGUUGGGUUUAUACAUAACCUUUCAUCUUUGUUUAAAGUCAUAAAUUUAUCUAUUAUAUAUAUUUAAGUUAAAUAUAUUUAUAGGUUAUAAAUAUAUUUAAAUUGUUAUGAAGUAUGGAUUAUAAAUAUAUAAGUUAUAGAUAUAUAUGUAUAGCUUAUAAAUGUUUAAAUUGCUUUUUAUAAGUCAUAUGUUAGAGAACAUUCUUAAAAGUUGAAUAAAUCUAAUUGAUUUGAAAAAUGUAAUAUUGAUUACAAACCAACCUACAGUAUAGUCAAGCAAGACCAUGAAACAGUAUAUCCAGCUUAAAUAGAUUAUAUAUUCAUGUUAACCUCUUUAAAAUCACAGUGACACAAGUUGAGUGGGUGGCACAAUAUAGUGCCAACACAAAGAUGAUACAUUACACUGCUUCAAGAGUAAUAAUUAAAGACCAAACCACAAUAAAUAGCUUCUAUAUUUCAACUUGUAGGCAAUCCAAUGCACAUGCCCACUUAAACUCUAUAAUGAAACAAUAUAUCCAAUUUAAAUAAAUCCUACAUUCAUAUUAAUUUCUUUAAAAUAAAUUUCACACAAUGUGUAGCACAACAUAAUGCCACCACAACAAUGACAUAUUACAUUGCUUUAUGUAUAAAUUACUUAAGAUUAAUACUUAUUUAAAAAACAUUUUACAUAAUUUGAGCGCAUAGAACAACAUAGUGCCACCACAAAAAAAAACUCAAAGUGCUAUUCUAAGUAAUAGUUUAAUUUAAUAUUAAUAUAAAAAUCCACAUUUUAAUAAAAAUUGUAGCUAAGUAGAUUACCUAUAGACUGUUGAGUGACUACUUCAUUGAGUGACUACUUUAUGAAUGUAGGAUAGUCACCAAUUACUUUAAAGAACUGGGUACUACCUUUACGUACUUUGAGCAAUAAAAGUGGAUUUUUAAAUCUACAAAAUUCUGUUAAUUUAUUCUGAUAAAGAACAUAGAGCAAAGAUAUAAAUAAAAAAUGUGUGUUUAGAGAGAGAAAGAGGCAGAGUAAUAUGCAGUUGGAAAAAAAAAUGUAGUUAUAGAUAGAUAAAUUAUCACAUAGUUAUAGAUAGAGAAAUUAUCACAACUAUACUUUAAUUUUUAUCUAUUUAGAAGAGGAAAAAAAACUCUAACUUUCAUGAACCUCGUCCACACCAUUUUUUUUCAAGUUUGAGUAUUUUGUGACCAAAAUAACUUUCACGGUAGUCAUAUUACCGUAAUAAACCAAUUAAUAUUACAAUACCAUUACGGUAAAAGUAAAGCUAUUUAUAUCGCAUUUUAUCGUAUCACAGAGGCAAGGGAGGCAAGGGUAGAAUAAGAUGUAAGGCCAUGGAAAAAUAAGAUGUGCGCCAUCUCCUCAUCUCCCAAUCUCCCGAGGCGAGGGAGGAGAAUAAGAUGUGUGCCAUCUCUCGAGGCUAGGGAGGAUAAGCUUGUGCACCUCGCCAUCUCUAAAGGUUAGGGAGGAUAAGCUUGUGUGCCUCUUCUUUUGGGAUGAGGCCAUGGAAGCACCUCUUCUUUUGUGAUGAGGCCUGACAAGAUAAGCUUGUGGAAUAAGUUUAUGAGGAUGGGUUGACAGGAUAAGUUUGUGUUAUUUUGGUCUCAAAACGCCCAAAAAUGGAAAAUUGAAGAAAAAAAAGUGUGGACGAGAUUUAUAAAAGUUUAGUUCUUUUUUUAAAUAGAAAAAAUAAAAUAUUUGCGGUAAUUUUCCUUAGAAAUAAAAGAGGUAGAGACAUAAAAGCCAUGCUUAAAGAUAAAAAACUUAAGAUUAAUGAUAUGGUCAGGAUGUUGCUAGAGGGAAAAAAAACUUAAAUAAAUGAUAUGGUCAGGAUGAGAGAUAGAGAGCUACCUUAGAUUAACUGAGAUUAGAUUCAAAUGACGUCUUCCGCCCAUAUCCAAGUCAUUUCUACAUAGGUAUCUUCCCCAUAUCCAAGUCAUUUAUACUAUGUUUAUGUUUUUGAGUCCUCGAAAAGGUUAUCAGCCAAGUAGCGUUCUACAAUAAUAAGAUAGAAAAACAAUUUCUAUUAGCCUCAAUAAAAUUGAGAAAAAAGAGGGAAAAUUAUCACUCAUAUUCUUUUUAGGGCAAGCUUUCUAUGUUUUUUUUAAAACAUAAAACUUAUAUACUUCUCCUUAUCCAACCGUAAAUUCUGAAUGGAGGGCUAAGAUUGCCAUAAUCACAAUGUCACGUCUCUAGACUUUUAUUUUUAAUUUUUUUUCUAUUAACUAUUUUGACACCAAAAUUUUUUAAUUUUUUUUUCUAUAAACUAUUUUGACACCAAAUUUUUUUAUUUUUUCUAUAAACUAUUUUGACACCAAAUUUUGUACAUCCAAUCCUCUAUUAAACUUAGACUAGCAAAAAAAUAUAAAAUGAAAUGACCACAAUACCUCUAAAAGUUUUUAAGGGGUAUUUUGGUUAUUAUAUUUUAUGAAAAAUUUAUUUUAAUAUUUUUUAUAGGUGCCCUCCAAUUAGAAGAUGGCUCAUAUUCAUAUGAUAUGUAUAAAAAAAACUAAAAAUAAAAUACUUUGAGACGUCGAAUCUAAGAUCAAAAGGUGAGUGGCUCUCUUGAUAAAAAUUGGACGGCUCGAUGGUAAGGGAAGCAUAGAUCUUCUAUGUUAUAGCAGAAAUAUAGAAACAUUUCCCUUCUUUUUAUUAGUGAUAAGAAAUAGCAAAACAAUUUCUAAUCGGCCUAAUAACGGUUUUUAAAGCAUUUGCAAUUCAAUGAAUAAAAAACAUAAAAAAACGAUAGAUUCACUAUCCUCUGGAGCCACAUCCAAUUAUGGAAUCUUUGGAAGAACAGAAUGCAUCGAAAUAUAGUUGCUACACUGAACCUCGAUGCAAAUAACCAACUAGACUGACCUAGUGGAUAAAUCAAGAAUGCCUAAAUAAAAACAAUGGAUAAAUCAGGAAUACAAAAACAAAAACAACAAUUGGAGCGGAGAAUGUGAUUGCAAUAUAAGGUCGCAAUUGAACAGAUUGAGCAAGUUCGAAUUGACGCAACAUGAAACCUAUUAGUCCGAAAGCAUCAUAGAGAGCAACAAAAGUCCACAGACCCCCUAAUUGACACCAGGAACUAAUCCCUUUUUAAGGUGUAAUUAGAUCGGGUACUCGUUCGAAUUAAGAACGGAAGUUCGUUGCUUUUUGUUUCCCUAUAACUAUUAAGAAUAUAAUUAAUUUUUAAUUGGAGCCAUAUAGCUCUAUCCAUUUCUUCACUCAACCGAACUGUAAAUUGAUUAGAUCGGGUACUCGUUCGAAUUAAGAACGGAAGUUCGUUGCUUUUUGUUUCCCUAUAACUAUUAAGAAUAUAAUUAAUUUUUAAUUGGAGGCCCUAUAGCUCUAUCCAUUUCUUCACUCGACCCAACUGUAAAUUGAUUUGGUUUCGUUCCAAGAAUGAAAACAAGAUUUUGUACAGAUGCAUAAUGAAGAUUCAUUCCCUUUCAGGAUCAGUCGUGGUCUUACCACCCUACCAAUGGUAUGGAUGAAUCCGUUGCUUCAUUCAAAUGUGUAAAAGAUCAUAGUCACACUUAAAAGCCGAGUACUCUACUGUUGAGUUAGCAACCAAAAAAAUAAAAAUAUGGUACUAGACACAAUCGAAAUGAAACAAUAAAGAGAUUGGAUUGCUCAACUCAGAAAAAAAGCAUUGAACUAGCAGCAAGUCAAGUAUAGAAGAGGCGUAUGAUUAUCGAUGAUGAAUAUCAAGAUGAAGAGAUCAGAUAAAAAUAUAAAAAUACAGGCAGUUAUACAUGUCAAAAAAAUUGAUAGACCAAGUUAAGUAUGGUAAACUCAACCCAGUUCAAACAACAUAAACGGAAAAACCAAUAUUGGGAACUGGAUAGACUCAGACUCAGACUCGAUGAGUUCCUGUCCGUUUUAUUCCAAACUCGGUAGGCGACCGAGUCGAAGAAACUCGCAAGUCCGAGUCACACCCACCGAGUUUUCGGACACAGUUUUUUCUGAAAACUCUGCUUUCAUUUAUCAUAAAUCUGAAUUUCUUUACUGAAAGAACCUUACCUGACUUUCAAUGCCUCAAAUACCAGCAAGAGAGACCACUCAAGCAGGGAGGGAGGGAAGGUCCAGUAGGGAGAGUCCAGUGAAUAAAACUUGAAACGGGGGAGUCAAAAACUUGAAACUUGAAAGAGUCCAAUGAGUAACACUUAAAGUUGAAACAGUUCUUAUAUGAAAAAUAAAUAAAUAAAUAAACAAUUACACAUAUUAGGAAUGACAACUAUUUAAUGAACAAGAAAUAGAGAGUUUUCUCAAAGGUAUAAAUAACAUAAUUGAAAGUAUCUUCAAGAUUAACGAUAGAAAAGGUGCCUCUACGAAUUUAUACAAGGAACCCGUAUAUUAUGCUCCCAAAAGGAGCAUAUAUAUCUCUUUUAAUUUAAAUUAGUGUCUAUCUCUUUCAACAAUACGACCCUCUCUACCCAUAUCUCUCUUAGCAUCCCUAUCCUAUCAAAUUUUUUUUUUAUGAAGAAACUUUCAGAGAGAUAAGGGUCUUCUUUUAGAGAUUAUAACGCGGGGAUUAGUGAGAGAGAAAAAUAAUUAAUUAAUUAAUUUAAAUAAAUAAUAUUAAUUACUAUCACGAAACCACAAUCCUCCAAACAAAAUCAAUUACAAAAUCAAUUAAUUAAUUUGAAACUAUAGGUGAGGUUUAAUUAUUAUCUAUUCGUUGACUAUUUUUAUUAAUAAGAAGAAUAAAAAAAAUAUAAGAAUAAACUUGGAAACUUGGUGGAAAUUUUACUUUCACUUUUGAAAUUUAAUAGCUCAUAAAAAAAAAGGAAGGAAAAUGGGUUAUAAAUCAAUUUCUAAGCAUCAAAAUAAAACAUUUAAAGAGAUAAUAGAUGCAUAAAAUGCUUUAUGUUAUAACAUCAUAAUCAGAAAGGAAAGCCAAAAAACUUUCAACAAAAAGGAACAUUAUGGGCAUAAUUUCUAAAAGUAUUUCUGAGUUCAUCACUUAAAUUUUUUUAAAAUAGUAUUUCAAAGCAUUACAAUUUUGUACUUUCAAUUAUAAAUUCUUUAAAUUUAAAAAAAAAACAAAUUGAAAGAAUCUUUAAAAGCAUAAAAACACACUAAUUAAUGUACUUUGUAAGAAAAUUUGAAAUUUCUAAUCUACACACUAAUUAAUGUAUUUUGGAAGAAAUUUUGAGAUGUCUACACCACAAAGGGAAAUAAACAAAUAGAGUUAUUUUAAAAUAUAACAAAGUAAUUUUGGUGGAAGGGACAAUAUAGUAAUUUUAAAAUCUAACAAAGUAAUUUUGGUGGAUGGGACAAUAUUUUUCUUUUCUUUUUUCUUCCUUUUUACUUUAAUGACUUCUUUGACAAUAAAACACAGUGCAAAAGAAACUUAAGAGCAUAAAUAUUUAUUUUAUUUUAUUUUAUCGAGAAUUGGAAUUCUGGUUUUAUAGUAAAUAUAAUAUUAUCUAUUUAAAUAAAAUACUAAAAUAAUAUUAUCUAACCAAUAAUAAAUCUAUUUUUUCAUAGUGUUGAUAAUAUUUAUUCAACAUUAUAAUAUUUUUAGCAUACUUCAUGUAUGCAUACAAUCUUCAAAACUGUAGUUUAUUAUUGAUUAUGAUGGUCUUCACAUAUUAGUUGUAUUAAAUUAUUUGUAAUAGAAAAAUAUGAUUUUAUUUCUUCACCUUUUUGCGGGUAAUGCAACCACUAUGUCUAUAUUGCAAGACCAACCAUUCGCACUUCAAUUCUUCUCUAACUUGUUCAAACUUUCUCCACCAAAGAACAUUUCACUAGUUUUUAAUCCCUAUAGUUAACAUAAUAUAUACUAAUAAAUAGGAAUAUGACUAUCCAAGAAGCUUAAAACUAUCAAUGAAAACACCCAAUCAAAACAAUUAAAAAGACAAAAAAAAUGAAAUAAUAUUCUAAUAAUCUAUGCAAAAUAUCACUACUUAAAACACUGAGAAGAAAGGAAGAAGAGAAGAGGCUCACCUCCAUGAAGAAGAACACAAUAAUUUAAACCACAGUUGGAAGCUUAGAGGCUAUUGUCGUUCUUUUUUCUUUACCCAAGGUGAUAUGAGACUCUCUCUUCCCUUAAACCACACACGUCUCUAGCUAAAUUUCUAACUUACCUAUAAUCUUUCUCAAUCAUUUUUUAUCAAAGAGAAAACUUCUUAUCUCUAUGAAACUUCCUAUCUAACUAUCUAUCUCUCUUUUUCUCUUCCCUUAAACCAUGAAUUUCUCUCACUAUAAAUUUUUAACUUUUUUACAUAUCAUUUCUCUCAAUAAUUUUUAACUAAAAAUGAAACUUCCUCUAGCACAUCUCUCUCUCUCUUUCAUAUCAUCUCUCAAAAUUAUGCCAUCCCUCUCACGUACUCUCUCUACUUGCUAAGUUUCACUCUCUUUCUUCCUUUAAAUUACGCACCUCUCUCUCUCUCUUUCCAGUUUCUACUUUAAUUUUCUCUCUCUUACCUUAAACCACGCACCUCUCUCUCUUUCAAUUUCUAAUUUCUAUAUAUCAUCUCUCAAUAAUUUUUAACCAAAAAGAAUUUUUCAUAUCUCUCUCUAAUGCACCUCUCUUUCUCUCUCUCUAUAUUAUGCCCUCCCUCUCUCGUACUCUCUCUUAUUUCUAGCUUUCUCUCUCUCUCCCCUUAAACCACGCACAUCUCUCUCUAGUUUCUGUCUCUUUUUAUCCCUUUAAAGCUGGGAAUGUCUCAUAUAACUUCUAUAGAAUUAGGGUCCAUUCUUAUUUUCGUAUCACCUAUCCACCCUUAACUCUGGCUUAAUAAUAUAGUAUAGAUAUAGAUAUAGACUAGAUGAUUAUUUUUUAAAAAAUAAGCCUAAAGAUAUUCUAAUUCCUUAAGAAUAUACUGUACAUUGCUCCCUCGCGUACAAUACACAUAGGAUUAAUUUUAGGACCCUAAUUUUUGGGAUAAAACCUGUUUAAACAUAGAUUAACUACAAUAAAAAAAAUCCUAAUUGCACCUGCUAAAGACUUCAAAAAAAUAAUGUUUCAAGAUUGAAUAGAAAUUGUCCCAUUUAUGGAGGGUGAGAACUAAUUGUUAAGAAACUCUAAUUUCAAUUUUGUUUUUCCUUUUUGAGAAUGACUAUCUACUAAUUCUAAUUCAAUCACCAAAAUUUUAAAUUGAAAAAAUCCUCCCAAGUAGGUCAUCAGGAAGUAAAAAUGAACGAGGAGCAUAGUAUGCAUACUUAAAAAAUAAAAUGAUUUUGAGUUUUGUAACAUUUAGUUCUCACCCUCAAAAAAUUGGAGUCUCUUUUCAGUCUUGAGACAUUUUUUUAAAAGUGCAUAAAGAGUAAAAUUUAGAAAUCUGUUUGUUGAGAUUAGUCUAUGUUUUGAAGAGGUCAUCUCCAAAAUUUAUAAUAGUUACCCCUUUGGUUUUAUCCGAAGGAGUAAAUGGACAGUAUAACCGACUUCUAAAAGUUAUUUAUAUCUUUCUAAAGAUGAGUACAGUAGCUUAGUCUAUGAGGAGGACAUCUCCAAAAUUUAGAAUUAUUACCUCUAGAUUAGGUUUUAUCCACAGUAUAACCAAAUUCUAAAAGUUAUUUAUAUACAGUAUGAAUGAUUUAGAAUUAUUACCUCUAGAUUAGGUUUUAUCCACAGUAUAACCAAAUUCUAAAAGUUAUUUGUAUACAGCAUGAAUGAUCCUCUCUUAAAAUUGUUUUUUCCUUUGUUUUAGGGCUAGUUCAGUACGGAUGCAUUCUCCUACCUGUGUAAGAAUUGAUUGUUUUUUCGGUUGUUUUUGGGGUUAGUUCAGUCGGGAUGCGGUCUCCUGCCAAUGGUAAGAAUUGAAUUAAGGAUGUCAUAUUGUGGCAAUCUAUCAUUCUGACCUCUUAACUUCGAGUCUAUUUCUUUUGUCGUCAUCAUCAUCAUCAAAGUUUUUUUCCAACUACUUGAGCCUAUUUCUCUCUUUUCUAAAUUCUUAUUUAUCAUCUCUCUAAACACAACUAUAAUAUGGUUGCUUUUCUCUCUAAAUUUAUGAUUAAAGGGCCUUCUCUUCCACUGAUCUACCCAAAACAAAAAUGUAUGAUUCAUGUUGGAACAGCUUGUUGGGCAAGCCAGGCCCUCACCAAAAUGGAUCAAUUUGAAACCUAAAUUAGAUUAUUUGAGAAAGGGAAGGUACGGUGUAUAGAGAUCAGGCGUAUCCAUUUCUAAAGGGCCGGGCCAUCCACCAUCCAGUCUCAAGAUAGACGGUGUGUAUAGGGGUUUCGCCAUAUCUGUCUACUUUCUACUCGGAUUUUGUGAGGUGGCCACAUGUUCAUCAACUUACAAAGAUACUAAGCAAUUUUGUGAGGUGGCCAUAUGUUCAUCAACUUACUUUUCAAUAUAGAGUAAGUGGUUUCGCCAUGUCAGUCUACAUUCUACUUACCUGUCUAAAAUCACAUCUUCAUGGAAUAAUGUGCACACUUUUUUUUGUAGGCAAUUCGUUGGGGAGUGGAUUUCAUUACGGGUAGAUAUGAUGUCAUAUUGUGACGCCCUUCCAAUUUGAUCAUCUGGGCUCUAAAGAUCAUUCUUAUCAUCUAGCCGCUAGAGACCAUUCUUAAUAAGGUUUACACCAUUCCUAAUAAGGUUUACACUUAAUUUCUUGCCUAAGAGAAAUAAAAAAGAAAUUAUAAACUCGAGGUCUUGAGAACAAGAAGUGGAUGACCUGCCUAUGCACAGUGUAGGGUACACAUCUUUUUUUCUUCUUCUUCUUGUUUUUAUUUUCAAAUAGGGAAAGUAUAGAAUAACACCAUUUACCUUUGACCAUUGAAUGUGAAAUUGGGCGACUGCAAUUAUUCCAUUGACCAAGCUCAAAUUUUUAAAAAAAUAUUCUCGAAUUUAAUGACACAUCCAAACUAUCAAAUUUCACAUCAAAUGGUCGUAAAGAAUUGGGACCACCUUGUAUCAAAGAUAAAUUAUCUUAUUGUAUACAAUCCCUUUCAAAUAUUAUGUCAGUUUGUAUGAGAAAGCAGUUUACGAAGGAGUGGAAAUAGUUCAAUUCACCCCUCAACGCACCUGUGGUGGUUAGGAGUGGCAAUGGACCAGACCCGAAUUGACCCAGUGGGUCGGUCUAGGAUCCAAAUAGACGGUAACCCGAACACUAUUCGAGUCCGGGUCAUGUGGACCAGUCGUGGGAGGUCAANNNNNNNNNNNNNNNNNNNNNNNNNNNNNNNNNNNNNNNNNNNNNNNNNNNNNNNNNNNNNNNNNNNNNNNNNNNNNNNNNNNNNNNNNNNNNNNNNNNNNNNNNNNNNNNNNNNNNNNNNNNNNNNNNNNNNNNNNNNNNNNNNNNNNNNNNNNNNNNNNNNNNNNNNNNNNNNNNNNNNNNNNNNNNNNNNNNNNNNNNNNNNNNNNNNNNNNNNNNNNNNNNNNNNNNNNNNNNCGUUGCCUUCGCCUCCCUACGACUUUUGUGUUUGGGUCCUCGUUGGUUACGAGGUCUGACCCGACCCAACCCAUUACCACCCCUAGACUGGUAGUAGUAUUGUAGUUUGGUAGAGAGAGAUCUAUUGGAGCUAUUGACUAAGCACUCUUUCUAGUAUUUACCGUGAAAUGAUGCUCAUUAUUGUUACAGGUGAUUUUAGCGUGAAUAUCACAUGUUGUCCCCCUUUUAAUAAAAGAAAAGUUUAUAUAAGAUGGCAACCAUAAAAACUCAUUGAAAAAGAUUUGGUUGUUCAUCUUUUAAUAUAUUAAAUGAACCGUCAAUUUUCAAUAGUUUUAAAUAUUUGUAAACCUUCUACAUCUAUACUAUUUUUAAAGCUUCAAUAAUUUGAGAUGAAUAUAAUUUUUCUCGUCAUAAAGGAUUUUUGACACUAAAACAUCUUUGGGCAGCAUUUGGAUGUGCGUCUUACUUUUAUUAUUAAGGCAUCAACCUUAUAUAAACCUUGCCCUUUCAUAAAAGAGUAAAACAAAGUAAAGCUGACAUGCCCUCAACCUAGCGAUAAAUCUUAAUAAAAUAAAAUAAAAUAGAAAAGGUCAAAAAAAAAAAAAAAUGUCCAUACUUAUUCUAUAUAUGAUCCAAAAAAAAGGAAAAAAAGUAUUACAAUAAUCUUCAAAUGGGAUUGUAUAUAAUAAGAUCAUUUAUCUUUAAUACAAGAUGGUCACAAUUCCUUAUAACUAUUUGACGUGAAAUUUGAUGGUUUGGAUGUCACAAAGUUCGAGAAAAACAAUUUUGAAGUUUGAGCUUAGUCAAUGAAAUAGAUGCAGCCACCCAAUUUUACAUCCACUAAUCAAGAUUAAUGUGACCCUCUUGUAUUAAAGAUAAAUAAUAUCAUUAUGUACUUUGCCUAAUCAAAUAGAGACCAAUGAGUUUGUGGAUGGUCAUUUCCAGUGUUCAAGAAUUCAAAAGUAGUUGCAAGAUUCGAUUGGCUUUGAAAAAAACUGCCAGUUGCAUUAUCUCUCCUUUUUAAGUACUCGUAUCGUGAUUAUAAAGUGGACUUAGAGAACUUCAAAUAAAAAUCGUCAUUUUUUACGAGGGAGUAUGUAUAUAAUGUGCUCCAUUAUAGGAGAUAUACUGUUUACUUAGUCCCUCAAAUAAAAAAUCUACUUUGGAGUAUUUUCCCAAUUCAAAAGCUUCGAUCCAUUUCAAACUCACAAGGUAAGUAUUCAAAUAAAUAAAAUUUACGAUAAAGAAAAACUAUGAGUUUCUAAAUAUUUAGGUUUCAGUAUCCAAAAUAAAACCAAACAAAAUUAUUUUCUUGGUCCUCCGUUGAAGAGGUCAUCUCCCAUAAUCCCAAAUCCCACUAUAGUAGUGCGUUGGGUUUAUGCGAGGGGUGACAAUGGUUCGGACAGGUCCCGAUCCGACCCGACCUAGACAUAUUAACUUGAAUGUAAAUUUAUGAGGGUAUUUUGAUCAAUUUAUAUUUUAUGAAUUAUUUUUUUCAUAUUUUUAUUAGAUUUGCAUCACUAAGAUGUACACAUGCUUCAAAUUUCUGAUCCUUCUGAUUAGUAAAAACACAAUGAAAAUUGAAACACUACCAAACAACUAUGACCAUGCGAUAAAGUUUAGAUGGCGAUGAGGACAACCAAAAUCACUGUUCAUUUUUUCCUAUAGCCAUUUUGUAAUAUCUUNNNNNNNNNNNNNNNNNNNNNNNNNNNNNNNNNNNNNNNNNNNNNNNNNNNNNNNNNNNNNNNNNNNNNNNNNNNNNNNNNNNNNNNNNNNNNNNNNNNNNNNNNNNNNNNNNNNNNNNNNNNNNNNNNNNNNNNNNNNNNNNNNNNNNNNNNNNNNNNNNNNNNNNNNNNNNNNNNNNNNNNNNNNNNNNNNNNNNNNNNNNNNNNNNNNNNNNNNNNNNNNNNNNNNNNNNNNNNNNNNNNNNNNNNNNNNNNNNNNNNNNNNNNNNNNNNNNNNNNNNNNNNNNNNNNNNNNNNNNNNNNNNNNNNNNNNNNNNNNNNNNNNNNNNNNNNNNNNNNNNNNNNNNNNNNNNNNNNNNNNNNNNNNNNNNNNNNNNNNNNNNNNNNNNNNNNNNNNNNNNNNNNNNNNNNNNNNNNNNNNNNNNNNNNNNNNNNNNNNNNNNNNNNNNNNNNNNNNNNNNNNNNNNNNNNNNNNNNNNNNNNNNNNNNNNNNNNNNNNNNNNNNNNNNNNNNNNNNNNNNNNNNNNNNNNNNNNNNNNNNNNNNNNNNNNNNNNNNNNNNNNNNNNNNNNNNNNNNNNNNNNNNNNNNNNNNNNNNNNNNNNNNNNNNNNNNNNNNNNNNNNNNNNNNNNNNNNNNNNNNNNNNNNNNNNNNNNNNNNNNNNNNNNNNNNNNNNNNNNNNNNNNNNNNNNNNNNNNNNNNNNNNNNNNNNNNNNNNNNNNNNNNNNNNNNNNNNNNNNNNNNNNNNNNNNNNNNNNNNNNNNNNNNNNNNNNNNNNNNNNNNNNNNNNNNNNNNNNNNNNNNNNNNNNNNNNNNNNNNNNNNNNNNNNNNNNNNNNNNNNNNNNNNNNNNNNNNNNNNNNNNNNNNNNNNNNNNNNNNNNNNNNNNNNNNNNNNNNNNNNNNNNNNNNNNNNNNNNNNNNNNNNNNNNNNNNNNNNNNNNNNNNNNNNNNNNNNNNNNNNNNNNNNNNNNNNNNNNNNNNNNNNNNNNNNNNNNNNNNNNNNNNNNNNNNNNNNNNNNNNNNNNNNNNNNNNNNNNNNNNNNNNAUAGAGCUGAGGCUCUAAACAAUCAAAUCACAAAAAUUUCACAAAAAGAGGUUGUUUUGAUGCCCAAAUAUCCUCAAAUUGAUCAUCGCAACAUCAAGAUGUAUGGACAUUAGAAAAAAAGGGAUUUCAAGUUUUGAAAAUAGUGUAUUUUGUAAAGUAUUUUUUAUCCUUCAAUUUUCAAAAUUUUCAAGUUUUCAUAGAUGUCAAUCUACACUAUUUUUGAAGCUUUAAACUUUAUAAAUAACUAUGAAAUUAUAUUUUAAGGCUAUCACAAAGAUUUCCAGUAUUGAAACCACAUUUCUCGAUAUUAUUUGAAGGUAUGCUCUCGAUACUAUUUGAAGGUAUGCUCUAAUUUGAUUGUUUAGAGCCUAAGCUCUAUACAAACCACACCCAUAUGUGUGUGUGUGUUUUAUAUAUGGGAAAAGAUCUUGUCAACAUAUUAGCCGAUGGAAUAAUAUAAACCCAACGUUUCAAAUUGAAUAUGAGCCAAUUUGAUUGUCACGAUUGUAUUUCAUAUUCGAAUUUUGUUUUUUUUAUAUAUAAAUUCAAAUUACUUGAAAUUUGUGUAUAUUCUUCUCAUCAAUGAACAUCUAAUAAAAAUAUUAAAAAAAUUAUUAACAGAAAAUAAGUUGACCAAACUACCUCUAUAACUUAUAAAGAUAUUUUGGUUAAUUUAUUUUAUAUGAAUAAUUUUUUAAUAAUUUUUUGAGUUUCACUUAUUUUUCAAGAGUAGACGCUCAAAAUUCCAAGUGAAUUUAGAUUUGUCAAAAAAAUAUAUCAAAAUUUAAUUACUAAAUGCAAUCGUGACCAUUGGAUCAUAUCAUAUUCAAUUUUGGUCGUUGGUCAUUUAAUGUAGUUCUCAAUUGUUGGGGUCGGAUUGACCCGGAUCCUACGAAAAUGGGAUCCAGGCGGGGUCGAACCGGCCGCACGGCCACCUAUAUUUUGUGCACUAGGCAUGUGUACCUGAGGUACUUGAGAACGCAAGGGAUCUAGAAUUCUAGAUCAGUAGACAGUAGUACAUGAAAAUGAAAUGCGCAACUGGGCUCAAUUGGAAUUCUGUAGAAGUGCCAUUCGUAUGGCAAAUGGCAAAUAUUAUCUAGAUUGGUCCUUGACCUCUCUGAGCCAUCUCCUUCUUCCUCACUUAUUGUAGUUCCACACUUGCACCUGUGUAACAAAACUUUGAUCUCCUUGUUCCAUUCGACAAAUGAAACAAUUUGAUAUUUGCAAUUUACAUGAAACUAUUCAAAACCAAUGCAUUCCACUCCCUUUAUUCUAUAACUACCACCAAUGUAGACUCUUACAUGAUCAAAACAGGCUUUCUCCCAAGCAUAUACAAAUGGAACCAUCUGAUAAAAACUCUAAUUCAAAAAGGAAAUUUGUUAAAGGCUCAACAAGUGUUCAACAAAAUGCCCCAAAGGAAUAUAAUCUCUUGGAAUUCAUUGAUUUCUGGAUAUAUUAAAGGGGGUGAUUUAGUCGAAGCUCAGAAGCUAAUUGAUCAAAUGAAAGACCGGAAUGUGGUCACAUGGACGGUCAUGAUUGCCAGCUAUUCAUCAUUGGGCGAUCGCCACAUGGCAUUUGAGCUCUUUUCUGAUAUGCAAAAAUCUUAUGUGAAGCAUGACCAUGUAACCAUAACCACACUUCUAUCUGCUUGUAACGAUAAAUUGGCUUCUAGUUUGGUUAUUCAGUUGCAUACCCAAAUCGUUAAACAUGGGUACGGAGCCAUUUUUGUAGUUAGUAAUACUUUGAUUGAUUCUUUUGCAAAAUGUGGGCUCAUUGAAUAUGCUCAAAGAGUCUUUGAUGAGAUUCCUCGAAGGGAUUGUGUAUCAUUUAAUGCUUUGAUAAUGGGCUAUUUGAAAGAUGGAAUUCUUCAGAAGGCCUUGAAUUUGUUUGUUCAAAUGAGAAAUUUGGGAGUUAAGCCUUCUGAAUUCACAUUUGCCGCUAUUUUGAGUGCUGUCUCUGGAAUGGAUGCUUUGGGUUUAGGAAUGCAGGUCCAUGGUUAUGUGAUCAAGGCUAAUUAUGGGUGGAAUUUGUUUGUUAACAAUGCUAUACUUGAUUUAUACGUUAAGAAUGAGAAACUAAUUGAAGCAAAGGAAUUCUUCAAUGAGAUGCCUGAAUUCGACGGUGUCUCUUAUAAUAUUCUUAUCACUGGCUAUGCAUGGAAUAUGCAAUGCAAAGAGUGUAUAAAUCUCUAUAGAGAACUACUAUUGACAAAUUUCAAAAAGAAAAAUUACCCUUUUGCUAGUCUACUAAGCAUGUGUGCGAAUUUGCCAAAUUUAGAGAUGGGCAUGGAAAUUCAUGCACAAGCUAUUCAUUGCUCAGCAGAUGAGGAUGCCUUUGUUACGAAUGCUCUGGUAGAUAUGUAUGCCAAGUGUGGGGACUUGGAAGAUUCAAAGAGAUGUUUUAGGGACGGGAUUGAGUUCUCUGUGUCAUGGACGGCCAUGAUUUCAGGGUAUGUACAAAGAGGAUUUCACCAUGAAGCCUUGGAAUUAUAUGCAGAGAUGAGGAAAGAAGAUGUGUGCUCUGAUCCACCCACUUCCUCUAGUGUUCUUAGGGCUUGUGCUAGUUUGGCAACUAUAGGGGUUGGGGAGCAAGUGCACUCAUACUUGGAAAGAUCUGGUUUUUUGGCAAAUGUACAUUGUGCGAGUGCUCUUCUUGAUAUGUAUGCAAAAUGUGGAUUUAUAGACCAGGCAAGGCAAGUUUUUAAAGAGAUGCCAAACCGAAAUGUAGUCUCUUGGAAUGCCAUGAUAUCUGCUUAUGCACAAAAUGGGUAUGGAAAGGCUGCUGUUGAACUCUUUGAUGAAAUGGUUAAAUGGGGUAGAAAACCAGAUUCGAUAACCUUUCUAAGCCUUCUCAAUGCAUGUAAUCAUGCGGGGCUAGUUAGAGAAGGCUCAAAUUACUUAAAAUUGAUGACCCAAGUGUAUGGUGUUGAGCCUAAGCGUGAGCAUUAUGCUUGUAUGGUUGAUAUUCUUGGGCGAAUUGGAUGGUUAGAUGAAGCCGAAGAGCUUAUAAAUAAGAUGCCAUUUGAGAGUGAUGAUAUUAUAUGGUCUUCGAUUUUGAAUUCAUGUAGGAUCCAUGGAAAUCAUGCAUUAGCAAAGAGAGCAGCAGACCAUUUGUUCAAAAUGGAGCUCAGUGAUGGAGCACCUUAUGUUCUCAUGUCCAAUAUAUAUGCAGCUUUGGGUAGGUGGGAAGAUGUAGCGAAGGUGAAGAAAUCCAUGAAGGACCGUGGAGUAAGAAAAGAACGCGCUUACAGUUGGGUAGAGAUAGAAAGGAAAACACAUUCAUUUUUAGCCAAUGAUGAUUCACAUUGUCAAAUAGAUAUCAUCAGAGAAAUGCUACAGAUGUUGUCUGAACAUAUAAAGAUGGAAGGGUAUGACCCUGAUACUGGAUAUUUGUCUCAUUUAUGUGAAUGAGGGAUGAUUAAAGCAGUUUCCACCAUUUUAGAGAUGGAACUUCUUUUUAAGGUAAUAUUCCAAUAAAAAAUGUUCUUGUUCUUAAGGUAUAAUUAAUGUGCAGUUCCGCUACAAAGAGAGAUUUUUUUUCUUAUACUUUUCUUAAUCAUAACUGCCUUGUUAUUUGAUUAAUAGCAAUGAAAUUCUUGCCAUAUGCAUAUAAUAUUCAACUCUUUUUCUAUCCGUUAAUUUUAAUUACAGUUUGUUCCAUCUAUUUUAAGGCGAGAUGUACUAUAACCAAAUCAAUACUGGAAACUCGUAGACCAUUUGAAUCAUCGCCAUCCAUUAUAAUGAUGGAACGCGAUGGAGUGAGAGUGGAAUCCACUAGAAUAUGACAUGAUCCAAAUGUUGGAUUCCACUUUCUCCAUAUCCAUCACCAUCCAAUGGUAUAGAGUACGAUGAUGAUGACCCCAAUGCUAUAUGGUUUCAUAAUCCAUCUAAUUAUUUCAUGCUUUUCCGCGGUUUUUAAUUAAAAAAGUUUUUGGGUGCCUAGGUUUGAUGAAUUUAAAAAGAUUCAUUGGUAGCCAAAUCACCAUGGUCUAAAAGUCUGCAAAAGAAAAUCUGAGUUCUACAGUAAAGGGUUCUGAAGAAGACAUGCUUUAGUGUUCAGACUGAUGAAUGAUGAUUUCAAAAAUCACUUUUGACUUGUAAAAGUUCUGGAAAUUUCGGGACCCAUUACUGCCUUAAAAAUUUUUGGCUCCCCAUAGUCUAGCUUAAUUUCAGAUAUACUUCUUAAUUGCAAUCCUUGUAUUUAUGUGGAAUAAGCUUGGGGCUAUUAUCUAAUAAAAGUUUUAGCAUAAUAAGUAAGAUUCAGCAGCUUUAUCUCCUAGUGGAUUGGCAUUUGAGCCAAAAACAGCUAUCGUCAGAAUCAUAACAAUAAGUUUCUCUCUCAGAGAGAGAGAGAGUACAAUUAGAAAAAUGUGUUCUACAAUGCCUGAGACACUUCUGGUCAUUAUUCAAUUUUCAUAAUCCUCUUUUUCUCAAGUCAUUUCUGUCAAUAGUUAAAGCUGUUUCAAGCCCCAAAAGAUAAUCUCUACCCUCUACUUUUCAAAGUCCCUCCCCCAACUUUUGUCAUCCUCAAAGAACCCCUCUGGCCCAUUGCCCCUACCAAAAGCCUACUUUCCCUUUAUCCCUUUGCCCUUUUGAUUAAAAGAAAACAUAACCCACCACCCCAAAAACCUCUCUAAUUCCUUACUUUGCUUCAUAUUGACCUUUCCUCUUCCCCACUUCUCCUCAGAUGCUCUCCAUCAACCAAAUUAGAGACCAGUUUCUCUUUCUUAACAUCUGUCUUCACUCCAAACCCCAAAAACCUCCAUUCCGUCUCACCUAAGAAAUGAGCAACCACCGAACCCACUUAACAGAAUCCGGUCAAAAGUCACCGGGUUCCAGUCAAAAUUUGCCUGAGUCUGGCCAAAAGGCGCAUGAACCGGGGCACCAGCAGCUAAAGCCAAUAUCUGGUCAUCGAUAUCGCUCAUCCGACAUAGUACUCCGGAAACCUCCACCAACCAAUUUCUUUAUACGGUGCGGUGCAGUUUUCUGCAUAAUUUUCAUCAUUCUUCUCAUCCUUGGAGGGAUCAUCACUCUGGUCAUAUACUUAGUCAUAAAACCAAAGCACCCAUCUUUCGAAAUCUCGAGUGCCACCCUUAACAGCCUCUAUAUCGACUCCCCUCAAAACCUGAACAGUGAUUUCACUUUCCUUGCCAAUUUCUCUAAUCCCAAUCGAAAAAUUGACAUCCAGUAUGAAUAUUUGAGCUUGGAUUUAUACUUUGGAGACACCCUUAUUGCUACUCAGGCCAUUAAUCCUUUCUUUCAGAAGAGGGGGGUGUUGAGCUUGGCUUCUGUUCAGAUGAUAUCAAGUGAGGUUUAUUUGAGUCAGAGCUUGGCUAAGGAACUUAGGAAUCAAAUUCAGAACAACAGGAUCACCUAUGAUAUUAGAGGAACUUUCAGAACCAGGGCUGUUUUCGGUAUUUCACAUUUCACGUACUGGUUGUAUGGGCGUUGCCGGAUUGUGCUUACAGGACCUCCUAGUGGUAUUAUUGUUGCUCGGUAUUGCAGAACAAAGCAAUAGAGAUGGUUUCACACACUUUCGUUUUUUGUGUCUCUCUCUUUGAAUUUUGUUUAUCUCUUGAUUUUUUUGUUCCCUCAUAGUUUUCUAUUUAUUUCAGUUUAGCGAAGUGGCUCGCUUUUGUUGUGAGGCCCGUUUUAGAUAUGUUUAUCUGCCUUCUCUGUACUUGUAAAAUUCUUUUGGUUGUAAAGAUCAGCGUCUUUAUGGCCUAGCACUUCAAUAAAUAUUUCAUAUAAGUCUAAUCUUUGAUUUUGUUUUUAUUCUACUUCUUAUUUUUUAAAAUGGUGAUUUUCUAACUACAAAGCAUGUUUCGUUCAUGUUUCUCUUGGAGAUUUUAUUCUUCAAUUCUUAAUUUGUUGUAGAGCCUUGACAAAUAUAAGGAAAUUAAGAAAGAUCAGAUAGUAGACUUCCAGAUAUGAUAUGAGAAGUGGAAUUCAUUAUCCCAUGCUUUUCCCUUUUUCUCAAUUUUUCAUAAAGGUCAAUUAUAUAAUCCAAAUCUAUCUUGUAUCUCUCUGGUUCACAUUUCCCUCAUCUACCUGCAAAAUUCUUUAAUUUCUUGGAAUUUCUUAUUUGAUGAAAAUCAACUAGAACUACCAUUAGACUGUUAUCUCACUUCAAUAAAACCAACAGAUGACAUUCAAGCUGAACGCCUGAAACAAAACAAAAAACGGAUGUCAUCAUGGAAAUAAUUCAAAACAAUUAUUUAUCAUAGAGGGCAAAACUAACUGAUUUUUUUAUGCAUGCUAGUAAUUUGUAUUUUCCAUUUUAUAUUCAAAUUUUCACUUUAUCACUUUUAUUUCCCGCAUCUUAAUGUUACUUGCGUGAGGGCAAAUGGCCAGGCAAAGGAAUCAAUGGACCACUUUCCUUGACUCAAGGUAGAGAGAGAGAUUUUGAAAAUUAGGGGCGGGAGAGGGAGGGGAGAGACCUAUAAAUCAAUGUUUGAAAAUGAGAUAGAGAGAAAGAAAGAGGUUUCAAUCAAUGUUCAAAAAGUGGGAAUCAUGCUCUCAUUUGCUGGAUGUCGGAGCUUAAGUCCCCAAUCUCGGGCAAGACUGCAUAAUUUACAGUAAGAAAAUAUAAAGAUUUUGAAACAUUUGGUAGAAUAGGGUAGUGUGCUUCAACCCGAAAUCACAUAGCUACCUCAAAAUCCCAAUCCAACUUUUCUUACUCCUGCCCGGCUUGACGAUUAUUGAAUUUCUAAAACGGUGAGGUUUGUAUAUGGUGCCAACCUUAAACAAUCACGAUAAAGUGUACCUCAAAAUUCUAUUAAAGUGUACCUCAAAAUUCUAUUAUAAGAUAUAUUUUAGGUGUCCAAACUUUUUAUGAUAGUCUUAAAAUGUAUUUUUUUACCCUUAUUAUAAAGAUUUUUUUAGACGGACUGGACAAGAUUUCAUGGUCUUACCACCAAGACCCCUACGUCCUUGUAUAUGCUUAGUAGGCUAAAUAUUACUGGUCUAAAUAUUCAAUCUCAGAGAGACUUUGCAAAAUUCCAUGGUCUUAUUACCAAGACCCCUACGUCUUUUCUACAUGUUCAGUUCUCUAAAUAUUACAAGUCUAAAUAUUGCUGACUUAUCAAGAUUUCAUGGUCUUAUUACCAAGACCACUACGUCUUUUCUGCAUGCCGAGUAGGGGCCAAGACAGGUCUCAUUCGGCCCAACUAAAAACAAAAAAGUGGAAAAAGAAAAAAAAAAUAUAGCCUCCAGCCAGGCCAGCCCUGUCAUGGCAGCCCACACCCGUCCCGGCCUUUUGGGUCGUAGUGGACCCAGGCCCACCGGGCCUGGGCGAGUUGUACCCCUAAUGUUCAAUCGUAUUUUCAAGCUGACUAUUCUAUCCUUAAGUGACGACCAAAACAACCCCACCUAAGAAAUUGCCAAAUUUCUCAUUCAUUUCCGAGAAAUAAGCCCAAUUACCAUUUUAUUGCACACUUUCAACAGCUGAUUCAUGAUCUGUAAUCACCAAUAAGCAACAAAAGCAACAUAGGAAUGCUAGGAUUAAUUAGUGUCCCAAAACUUUGAUUGAUGUGGAGGACCGUUCACCCAUAGAUAUGUGUUGUAUUGAUAGAUCAAUGAUCCAGAUUUGGUCUGAAUCGAUCUGGUGGUGAUUCAAAAAAAUUAAAAUAGAGAUCUAUGGGAGAGGAUUUAGGGGGACCUAACGAUAAGCUUACAAAAAGAAAUAUAAUAUAUAUUAGCUGGAACCCGGACAGGACCUAUACCAUCCCAAAACCAAUUUAAUCCCUAUUAAUCCCCCCAUCCAAAUCAGGGAUCUGGAUCAGAAAUCACCAGGUUUUGAAGCACUAGUUAAAAUAAUAAUGAUAAUCUUCUUUAACUUACUAGAAAAACAUUUAUAAACAAAAAGUUCCGUUAAAAUCACUGAAAAAAAUGCUCAACCAUAUGUGGAAACCCAAAAAUACCCAUUUCAGCUUUUAAGACAUUACGUACUACCAGUCUACAACACGAAGUAUACUAGUGGUAUACAAUAGGCUUGCUACACUGGUGAACCCAUCUCAUUGUCUCUCUCUCUCUAGCCAGCUACAGGUUACAAAUGAGCCUGUGCAUGCUCAGGCUUGUGUGUGUAUUCAUAGUCAAGGUGUACAAAGGCUCUCUCUAUCUCAGGCAGAAGUUCUAGUUUCUCUUGCAGUGACUCCCCAAUGUCAUGGGCCUCUUGCAAGGCCAUAUCAGCUGGCAAAACAAUGUCCACUUCCACAAAGUAGUGAGAGCUAAAUGUGUAAGCUCUCACCGUGUCAAUGUGUUUGAUUGCCUUGUGAUGGUUCCAGCAAAGGUAAGUUAGCUUUUGCAAGUAUUCGGGUGCAGCCGAUCGCCCGACUAAUGAGUUCACGUUCUCGAGGACAGUGGCCGACCAUGUUCGAAUAGUGUACAAUGCCAGCUGAAAAAGCAGCAGCAUCAAAGCUUCAUCGGCAAAAGAUCUCUCUCUCCCUCUCUCUCAGACACACAAAUUGCCCACUAAAAGAGCAGCAUAACCAUAGAAAAUAAAAAAGCAGCAAUGUUAGUAGCUGAUACAAAAGAAUUUGCACCCCUCUCUCUCCCUUUCUCAUACAUACUGAUUGAACAAAAUGAAACUAGAGGUAGACUAGAGCUAAUUACCACUAUAGCGCCAAAGGGGUCGAUCCAAUCAUCAAUUGAGUUGGCGAGAAGGGCAGCAAUAAGCCCAAUGACAUUGGUGAUCACAUCAAAGAAGUGAUCUUGAGCAUAAGCCUUGACAAUCUCAUUGGUGAAGGAGCGGCAAUAUAUAACAAGGGCAAACUUCACCAGUGUAACAGAAAGCAUUAUUCCAAUCACCCAAAGUUGUUGCUCUGCUGUCAAGGAGAACUCGUCUUCCUGCAUCAAGCAAAGGACCCUUCAGUUAUUUUACCUAUUCUUUUGCAAAUGGAAGCUGAUGGAAAUUUUAAUAAACCACAUUGAGUAACAAAGAAAGUUGGGAAAAUAUCUCAUUAUCCCCUAUUUUUAAUUUCCAUAUCUCAUGAGACCCAAGAAUUAAAAAUAUUACUUGUAAGCAAAGGUCCCUAUCUUUUCUAUCUUACAACCCUCUGGACCCCUUUGACCAUAAAUUUUUGACCCAAACAAACACUAAAAUGAUAUCCUAUUCAAACUCCAUCGCUCUCUCUCUAAAACUCCAUCUCUCUCUCUCGUCACUUCUCGAUGAGUUUACCAACCAAGGGAUUUAGCUUGAGCUCGAAUACGAGCACAUCUUUUUAUGUGUGAGAGAGAGAUGGAGGUUGGAUUUUAGAGAGAGAUGGAGUUUUAGAGAGAGAGAGUUUGAGUUUUAAGAAGAGAAAGUUUUGAGAGAGAGAGAGACGAUGAUGUGAGAGAAAUGGAGUUUGGGUUUUAGAGAGAGAUGGAGUUUUGAGAGAGAGAGAGACGAUGAUGUGAGAGAGAGAUGGAGUUUUAGAGAGAGAUAGAGUCAUUUUAUAAGUUGUUAAGAUCAAUAAUACAUGGUCAAAAGGGUUUAGAGGGUCAGAAGAUAGCAAAGAUGGAGUCAUUUUGCUUACAAGUAAUAUUUUCAAUUCUCGAGUCUGAUGAGAUAUAAAAGUUAAAAAUAGAUAAUAAUAAAAUCUUUUCCCAAGAAAGUUUGCUUAUCACAAUUAACAGAUAAUGGUUUUCUUCUUCAUAUCUUUGGUGUUUUUUCUUUUUCUUUUUUCUUUUUUUUUUGUUUUUGUUUUUGAUCGUCAAAUAUCAUAUCUUUUGUUUUAAAUAAAAAAAAUAGACUGAUAUCUCAUCAUCUACAAAUCCUCCUAAUUUUUUAUUUAAUUUGCAGUCAGUUCAGACUUUUCUCGAAGGGGCAGAAUGCUUUUGCUUCAUUUCUUUGUUUUUUUAGCAGCUAGUUUUAGGAUAAUGUGCAUAAAUACUUUGAUGCUCUCGUGAUAGUACAAUGGAGGGGGCCCUAUUACCAGCUAGCUUAUCCAAAAUACAUAACUGAUAGGACAAAUAAAAAAAAGUGCUUCAAUUAUAUUUAACAAAAAGUACAGGAGCAAAAACCCCCAAACAAUUUAUGACUCUACUUUCAGAUUCUUUCAUGGACAUGUAACUAAUAAGAUAACUACCAUUUUUUACAGUGCUCCUUUUUUUUCAUUAUUAUGACAUAAAUUCGUGAGAAUGGUCAACAGCAAAAAGGCCAAACCCCUGAGAAAAACAUCAAAAUGCUUUCAAAUUUUAAAUUUUGGCUGACAAUUCAAUCAAGGAGAAGCACUUACAUCAGAUAUGAGGGUGCGGACGGACUCUAAUAUUAUCUGCAAACCCAGUGUGGCCAUGACGGAGGCAAAAACUAAAAUACCCUGCACAUUCAGCACAUGCAUAUCAAAUAACACACUCAUAAUCUACAGAAUCAGCCAACUAAGAGGAGCAUUCUAAGCACCAAUAAGAUGGAUAGUCCUCUCCCAUUUAAGAGCAAUGGCAUAUAAUAACCCUUACAGUGAGAUAUAUAAACUCAUAAAUGAUGAAAAACAUGCAUUUCAAAUGUCAUGCAAAUGGAAAGUUUUAGAAUCUAAAAAAAAAAGACACAAAUUAUUGUAAGUUUCACAUGUCCUUUAGGCUUAGUCUAGAGGUUAGAUGUCCAGUUAGCACAGGAGAAAUUAAGGAUUUGAACUUUUUCCCCUUUUUGUGAAUGAGAGAUCAAGGAUUUGACUGUUGAUGUUUGUCCUGAAGAAAAACCAUGCCAACUCUUCUACUCAGAACUUUAACAUAAUAGAUACAAUUAUUACGGCUAUAUAGAACCUUCCGUUGUAGCCAUGGGUCAGGUAACACCAACAAACUACAAGUGAGAGGCUGGUUACCAUUCUGAUGCCACAAAGAAUCCUCCACCCCUACUUCAAUAUUACCUGGCCUUGUUAACAAGCUAAGAGCCUAAAACGUGAUUGUGAAAGAAAAGGAGAGGGUUGAUCCACAUUAAACCUCUCAAACUAUGAAUUUUACAUUCUCGGGGAUCAAUAAAUUGAGAGAGAAUAAGAAACCAAAAAGACCUAGGCCCUAUGUUACAUGGAUUCUUUUGUUUGGGUGCCAUACCCACGCAUCUGACACAUAUUGAUGCACCUAUUGACACAUUCUUUUGGAUUCUUCUUGUUCACUAAUCAUUGACUGCAUCACUGAUGUAGACUUUGAUCUUCUGCUUUCCUUUGAGUAGAGACAUGAACUUUGAAAACGAGCAUAAGUUCAACGAAGGCAUAAUUGAGUUUAUUGACUACUCAUCACGAAGUACUGAAUAAUGUUCGAUUUUGUUCUCUCUAUAAUACAGCCAUGUUGCCGAACCUUGCUCUUCCUGGAAUGGGGAAUGCCAUACCCAUGUCUGACACGUGCACAAGUCCAUGCAACAUAAAUGUAAUCCAAGGAAACCUAAGAUUCUUCAUUGCUUCUCUCUAUUGCUUCUCUCCUAAUUCAGUUUGCACUUUAUUUUCUAUUUUCCUUCCUUUCGAUUUCCCCAUUACCUCGGUUUAAUUUUUCUUACUGUCCUGAACGUCUUACUUUCUUUCAUGAUAAUGAUUGACCCAAAAAAGAGCAAAUAGAAAACAAUGAUAAACACAACACCGUAGACAACCUACUUGUUUCCCUAGUUAACCAGCUAAAUGGAAAUUAUUGAAACCCAAAACCACUCCAACAAUUUGGAGCAGAAACCUCACCUAGAACUACCAGAAGAAAUAAAAGAGCAUUGCCUUUCCAUGAGCUGCUCCAGCUUAAUCCAUUUGGUUUUCCCUUAUUUGUGCAGUCAUCUUAAAUUGUAACAGUUAAGAAGAUUUGGCAGCCAGGAAUUUCAAUGAGACAUUGAUCCCUAACCAAGCAGUCACAUCCAGCAGCAUAGAGGCACCCACUAACUAGUAGUGCAAAAGGCAUAGAGAUCUUCCAAAUAUUCUAUUCAUUCCAGCCUCCUCUAUAGUCCUAAUUUCAUCUUAAAAUCAAUCUCUUCUAUCCUCUCAGUAACCUUAUCUGAAAAUUCCGCUUCUUUCAUGUGCAGAACUUUAAUGAAAGCCAGAUGUCUCUUAGUUCCUACAUUGCUUAAUGACCUCUCAUAUCCCCCAAUUUCCUUCUCAACAUACAAUUUUUUCCAAUGAGUCAUCCCACAACAUCCUCACCCUCAUGCCAUAAACACAACACAACGUAACUUCAAAUGUAUUUGCCAAAGUAGAAAGGCGCAUUGACAUGGCUAGGAUCCCCAUCCACACCUCCUAUUUGUUCAUACCCUGGCCUUCCUACAUCCUGAAAAAGGCAUUCAUUCACAUGCUACUAUCCAUCUACAAUUUGUGAAGCCUUUAGAAGCUUACACCCUACAUGAACUCAGUGUUCCAAAAACUGCCGGGUAGUGCGUAGGAGGCUGGGGAAGUGUAGGCCACCCAGUGCAUAGGCAGGCGCCCAGGAAUCUGGGUGGCCUAGGUUCAAAAGUGGCCAAGGUGUCCAAUAAUCAUGUUUUAGGUCAAGAUUUUGUACAAAAAAUGCAUAUCCGUGCAUCUUUUAUAAUCCAAACAAAAAAAACACCAAAAAUGCCCUACCCGAUGGGAAUUUUUGCACCCAGGUGGGUGCAGUCCCCAGGGACAACCCGCUUAGUUGGUCCGCCCAGGCCUGAGUGAGACGCCCUAACCCCCCUACCCACCUAGGCGAGUGCCUAAGUGCUGCGAACUGCUUUUUGAAACUGUUGUACCCUUAAGGGCAUGCAGUCAAGGAGACCUCCAUGAUUUCCCUACCAGGAGUUUUGAAUGAAAUUCAUGUUCUUGUAUUUUUUUUGGGUGAGUUAGAUUGUCGUUUUUGCACUCUUUUAUAUAUUUUUCUUAUUUAAUUGUAUAAUGUUUGUUUUAUUAUAAUUCACAUUUAAUCAUCACGUGUUACUUCAUAGCGUUUCAUUUGGUUUUGUUUCCUAAAAAGUCCAUGCAAAUGCAUUAGGCCCAAAACCAGAAAGCAUUUAAAAUUUUAGACCCACAUAAGUUAGUGCCUAACACAUAAAGUUCACAUGCUCAUGGGACAAACAAAAGUCCAUUAUCACUAAAGAAAGAAAUAUCAAACUAUUACAAUAAACAGUUGAGAAGUAGAAUGCCAAGCUUUCGCCAUUGAGCUUGGAUUAUCCCAAGGAACAUCAUUACGUCUCAUCAAUAGGCAAAUAUAUAAUGAUGGUCAUUCUUAUGAACAUAUAUUUAUGAACAGGCAUGCAUGAAAUGCAUAUGAAAAACCAAAAGUGCAACUAUAUCAUGUGAAUGAUGAUGGAAAUGAACUGACCAAAGGUUGCAUGCGCUUUUUCCCAAUAGGGUAUUGAUAAGGGUUUUGUGUUUGCAUGGAGAAUGCAGUAAACCACAGAAUAAACCCUGAUAAAAGAUCCAAGAGAGAGUCCAAAGUGGAGGCGAUGAUAGCCAAUGAACCACUCCUCACUGAUGCAUACACUUUUGCAAUAAAAAGAACAAUGUUUGCAAUGUUUGAUAUUCUAAUUGCAAGUGUCUCACUUUUGGCAGUCCUUUCACGCUCUUCCUGAAAGAAAAACCACAUUAAGUUAAAAUAUGCCCUAUUGUAUGAGACGAGGAUGCUUUCUAGAACCAAAUUCCUUUUCUCAAUCACAAGCAAAUAGAAAGCUUCAACAUUAAUUAGUGAUAACUAAGGCCUACCUUUGACAUUCCAGGAAUAAAACCUCGUUGUGCUAUGGUGUCCAUCUCCAUAAAUCCCUCCAGCAUUUCCUCCUGUUGUUGAUAAUAUUCAGCAACAACAUCCCCCGUACCUGAGAAAUUUAAAUAAGUGAAGCAUUGUCAAAGCACGUAUUGGAAUCAUUGCUAUUUCCUAGUUGACCUACUAGAUAGGAACAUUACUAAUUCCAAUAAUUACUUUCAUAUAUUAUAAAAAUUUAAUGAAAUGGCUAAGAACUACAAAAUAGAAAUGGAGGUAUGGGACUCACAAAAGAAUCAACCACAUUUGAAUAUUGGAAUUUCAUUCAUCAUGUCAAGCAUUCAUCACAUCAUUGAAGCCUUUCCGUAUCUAAAUUCAAAUAAGGAAAUCAAUAUCCAUAUCAUCACUAACUCCUUGAUGUCAUAACAAUGAACAUAGUCUAGUUGAGCUCAUGGACUACAUCUGUGAGUCUCGAGGUCUGCAGACUCCCAAAGUAAUCCAUGCCCUUUAAAUUAAUUUUUUUUACAUUAUUAUUUAAGUUAAAUGCAAAAGAUAUUUUUUGUAACUUUCCAGUUUAACAAUAUAGCAAUUCCUUCAUCCACUUUAAUCCCCGAAGAAUGAAAAUGUUUGGUAAUCACACUAUGUAUCAGCAAUGCAUGUGUGCAACAAAAGGAUUAUAAGUUCAUAAUCAUAAGAUUCAAUCCAUAUGACAGCUUGAAAAAAACAGUUGGAUAGUAGUGUGGAUAACUAAUCUAUGAAAUACUUUCCCAAGCUAAGACAUCUCAUAUAAAUGUGAUGCGAAACGCAUGAAACAUAACCAGCAGACAGGAAUUCAAAUAACAGUGGUUUGAUUAAAACAUUGUAAAAUAUUUAUACUGCUCCAGCCAAUUAAUGAAAAUGGGUAUCAAUAUCAUGUUUCCUAGUAAAGAGCCAUAACUUCAUGCCUGAAUCUAGGACAAAUGACCACUGUCCACAACAUGGGAACCAACAUACCUGUUUAUCAAAAAUUAAAAAAAAAAAAUCAAAAUGGAUAUUGUGUUUUUUAAUAGAGAACUAACUAGUAAACCUCUCUUUCUUCUACAAAGAUUUCACAUUCACAGAAAACUUUUCACACUGAGAAUCAUCUAAAAUUAUCAGAUCGAUGAAGAAAAUAAUUCAAGGGCUUCCAAUGAUUCUCUUGGUGAAUUUGCACUAACUGGUUUCAAAUUUGCAUUACCUCUUAGUUUCAUAAGAAAAAAAAAUUCGCAUUAUCUUUUAACCAAAAAAAAAAGUCUUAUCUCUUGCCAAGAAAAUGCCUAGUGAUAGAUAUCCCAAAAGGAAAUCACAGGUUCGAACCCAGAAGCUGUCCCAAUAACCAAACCAACUUGGCCUUUUUUAUUAUCACAAAAGGGCUUCUAAGAAAAUAUUCAUGCAUCAACAUAAUAUAAUGACAAGGCGAUCACCAAGAGUAAAUUAGAGUGCACUGCAUAUAGCAUCACUGCAGUAUACAUAAAAAGCAACGCAACGAUUUCUGGUAGAGAAACUAUACCAUAGACCAGUGGCGCAUACAAAAUGAUGCACCAGUCUGAAACCCACAGCCCACUCCUGAGAACGGAUGGAGAUUAACCAUAGCUCCCAAUGCUGGUCAUUGACCAGUUGAAGUUAAUCUCUACCCUUCAUCAUUAGGAACUGACGGUGGAUAUCCUCCGAUGAACCAUACACCAAACACUAUGUUUUAUGGUAUAUAUUCGCAUUCAAUUAUUCAAAUUUUCAAUUUGAUAUGGUUAUUUAGAACAGUAAAACAGAGUUGUCAAAGGAGAUUUAUAAGUCACCAGAACCUAUUUUCACAGAAAAGAAGAAUAUAAGUAAGCUACAUGAAAAAAGACCAAAAGCACAGAGCUAGGAAAGAAAUCAAACCCUUUGAGAACCAAUGAAAUUGUAAACCUUAAACAUUAAAAAUAAUAAAAACUAAAUAAAAUAAGGAAAAAUUAAAUACCCUUUGAGGACCCCUUAAGAACGAAAUUAUAAACCUUGAGGACUAAAAAAAAUUAAAUAAAAUAAGGAAAAAUUAAAUGCAAACUUGGAAAAUCCCCUCAUAUAAAGGAGAAAUGAGACUAAUCAGUCACAUAUGCUAAACCCCAACGAAUACAUAAUUAUCAGAAAAUAAAUUAAAAUAAAUAACAUAAAAUUAAUAUAGUUAUAUAACAAUAGCAAAAACAUAAAUACACCACAAACAAAAAAACAAAAAAAAGGCAAAGCAGGCAAUUGAGAAAGAAAACCAUCAACAAUUUAAAAACUAUAACCCAAUAAACAAGAGUAGCAACUAACAAGACAACAAAAAGUUCAAAUUAAAAAAUAAAAAAAGUUGAAAAAGGGAUAUCAUAUAAAAUAAUAGUCAUAGAUUCAGGAGAAAUCUAGCUUAAAAAUAUCACAAAUUAAUUAAAUCAAAAGAAAAACAAUGCACAAAAAGGAAAACACCAAUAACUGAAGUAAGUAUCAAGAAAAACAAAUCCAAAACAAUAAGAACCAAGCAUAAGGUCUUUUGUCCUUUUGGUAAAUAGCUUAAAGUAAUAUAUAUAUAUAUAUAUUGAAGAACCUUAAAGUAAAUACUCCAAUUACAGAAAAAAUAAACCAACAACCAAGACAAACAAAUGAUACAUUUUCGUUUUAUCAAACCUGCAACUAACUAAUCCUACUAUUACUGAUACUAAUAUUAUUAUUAUUAUUAGUAGUAGUAGUAGUAGUAGUAGUAGUAGUAAUAAUAAUAAUAAUAAUAAUAAUAAUAAUAAUAAUAAUAAUAGCAAUAAUAAUAAUAAUAAUAAUAAUAGUGAUGACGACGAUAUUAUUAUUAUUCUUAUUAUUAUUAUUUCAGCUAUAAAUAGACAUAGAAUUCAGGGUGGGAAUAUGGUAUAAUUUGGAGAGAGCAAAAAAAAAAGCUUACUUUUUUCUUGACAAAGAACAGGGGAGAAAAAAAAAAUCUAAAACUAAGAAGCGCAAGAUCAGCGAUAAAAUAACCUCAUUUUCAAAAUGAGCCAUCAAAAAAACCCAAAAAUUUCCAAUAUAAACAAGAACAAUCAUUGUUGUCGUUAUUAUUACCAGUUUUAGAUGAAGAGACAAACCUAAAACUCCAAGGCAACCAUGGAGGCCUUUAGGACCCGAUGCCUCUUUGGCAUCUGAAACACGCUUGAAAUCCUCAAAGUUGAGGCGCCAUGAAUCCCUGUUUUCGCCAUUCUCCAAUAACAGAAGCUCUGUAGCGCCAGCAUCUUCGCCGGAAAUGUCAGGAUCCACCAUUUUCCGGCCACCGGAAAAUCCAAUGCUCAAAUAAUCUCGUUUUCCUUUUUAUGCCUGCAUAUACCAGAGAACAGAGUGGGAGACGUUAUUUAGAGAGAGUGUGUAUUUGAAACAACCGAGAAGCUCGUUUAAAGCAUGUGACGAAAGUGCCCUCCCUUUUUGGGUUGUUUAUUUUGGAAAAUCACCCUUUAUUGGGGAUAUAUGUUUCGAUUUUCCUGUUUUUAUUGAACAAAAUUAUGAGAGAGUUUGGUGCAUCUGCUGGCGUAUCUAUUCAAAGGACGUCCCCUUCAUAAAUCUAUAUUUGAGAUGGAAGUCGGACCUAAAUAUUUGCGGGUGGAGGAUCACAAGUCUCAAACAAGAAAAUGGAUUUUGAACUUCAAUAGAAAUUAUUUUAAAUUUUAUCUUAUUUUACACUAGUGUACAUCUUAACUUUCAUCCAUUGUCGUGUCUAUAAUGUUUUAUUUUAAAACUGCAAAAUCAUGGUUCUAAAGCUAAGUAAAUUGUAAGUGAUAUAGGAUGUGAUUCAAAUCCUUAAUCAUCCUCAACUUAUUUAUAUAUGUCGCUUGGGCCUAGUCUAUAAAUAUAGGGUUUCAUCUCAAGGACAACAAGAAAAGGUUGUUUAGUGUUGGAAAACUCUUAUUGAUGUUGAUCGUGAUAAUUAUGGAUCUAAAUAAAAUAAAUUUUAGGUUUAAAAAAUGGUGUAUCUUGUGAUACACCAUCUAAACCAACCAUUUUCAAGGAUUUAUAAAUCCGCUUAAUCUGCAUCAUUUUUUAAGCUUCAAAUCUCAUAAUUAAAAGUGGGAAUAAACUUUGAAGCCAUAAUAAGCAUUUUUUGUGCUAGAAUAUUUUUUUGAAGGGGUUUUCAGAUGCGUGCCAUUUUUUCUUUUUCUUUUUUUUUUUCUUUUUUAAUAAGGACAAGGCCUUAUGCCAAAUCAUACCUUUGAAUCCUUUCCCACAUAAUUGAGAGUUGGUAGAUUUUAAUUUGGGAUGGGUUUUCGUGUGUAAAACCCACCUACUCUAAUUCAAACUCCUUCAAAAAUUCAUUCUAUAAAGAGAUUUUGGAGCUAAGGUAUUUUUUUAGUUACAAAAUCAUGGAUUUAAAGUGAAAAUAAAUGUGAAGGGUGGGGGGUCUAUCGGAUAGAUAUGGAAAGUAAUAUGGCGGUGUUGGCAUAUUUGAGAACGUUAAAAAUGAGAUCAAAGUGCAUGUGGAAGCUGCCUAUUAAAGGAUGUCACAAACUGAAUUUUGAUGGCUCUUCUUUUGGGAACCCAAAUAAAAAAGUAAUUGGGGGUAUUUGUGGAGAUAGUGAUAGUAAUAUUAUCUUUUCCUAUGGAGCCCCAUCCGGCAAAGUUACAGCCAAUCAUGUUGAAUUAUUAGCUUUAUUGCGAGGAAUUUCUCUUUGGAAGGAUAAGAACUUCCGGAAUUCAUUAUUUGUAGAAGGUAACUCUCUUAAUGUGAUUAAUUUGUACAACAAGUCUUCGAGCCCCUUUUAGCGCCUUAUAUCUUUGUAGUUGUAAGUUAUGGAUUUAUUUUCUUCUUUCCCGCCUACCUUCAACCAUGUGGUUGUAGGUUAUGGAUUUAUUGUCUUUUUGCUCGCUUACCUUCAACCAUGUGCAUUGAGAGGCCAAUUCUAUAGCUGAUGAUUUGGCCAAAGAAGGGUGCUUUGGCAUAUUUGAGAACGUUAAAAGUGAGACCAAAGUACAUGUGGAAGCUGCUUAUAAGAGGAUGUCACAAACUGAAUUUUGAUGGCUCUUCUUUUGGGAACCCAAAUAAAAAAGUAAUUGGGGGUAUUUGUGGAGAUAGUGAUAGUAGUAUUAUCUUUUCCUAUGGAGCCCAUCCGGCAAAGUUACAACCAAUCAUGUUGAAUUAUUAGCUUUAUUGCGAGGGAUUUCUCUUUGGAAGGAUAAGAACUUCCGGAAUUCAUUAUUUGUAGAAGGUAACUCUCUUAAUGUGAUUAAUUUGUACAACAAGUCUUCGAGCCCCUUUUAGCGCCUUAUAUCUUUGUGGUUGUAAGUUAUGGAUUUAUUUUCUUCUUUCCCGCCUACCUUCAACCAUGUGGUUGUAGGUUAUGGAUUUAUUGUCUUCUUGCUCGCUUACCUUCAACCAUGUGCAUUGAGAGGCCAAUUCUAUAGCUGAUGAUUUGGCCAAAGAAGGGUGCUUUGUAUGAUGUAUUAGAACCCUUGUUUUAAUCUUUUGAAAUGUAUGUAUCGAAAACAUUGAAGUAAUAAAAUAGCGUAAUUUUGUCGAAGUAAUUUAUGAGAGCCAUCUCUAGAAUAAGACUUUUGAAAAAGCACUUCAUUUAAACUUUUCAGUUCUUAGUUAUUUAGGGUGAUGAUUUUUCUUUAAAACGUUAAAUUGCGUUUUGAGUUUUUAUUGCUUGAUGGAUUUUUAUUUUUUUAGCAAUUAUAAAUUAAUCUAAUCCUUUUAGUAAUUCCAAAUUACCCUUUCAAUUGGAGAUUUUAUUUUAAUAGAAGAUUCAAGGUUUCUUUAAAGAAAUAUUCGAUGGUCUUCGCAGACGCAAUAUAAAUUAUUGCACUCACAACAAACUUUGCUGUCAUUCUGAACUACUUGACUUUCUUUACGCAAGCAUCGUUACGUUAAUAUAGUUACUUUACGUUACAUUAUGUAUUUUUGCUUGAUCAAUUUUUUCAAAAAAAAGUGAAUAAAAGCUCCAAAUUGAGUCCCUCUCGAAAAAUUUCUUCAGAUCGUUGGUUUGAUAAACAAUUAGAUCAAGGUUUUCAAGGACUCAAAAUCUUUUUUCUCCAUAUCCUUUUUCUUUCAAUUUUAGAGAGAAUUUUGUAACAAAAAAUGGGACGGUAUAGUAUGAAACAACUUAUUUUUGGUAAAAUCUAAUAAAUAAACAUAAAUCGCAAUAUUCGAAAAAUUUUGUUUGGGAUUUUGUGUCUAAACAAUGACACAUCCUCAACCACCCAAUUUCAAAUCUAACAAAUCAUAAUGAUGAUCUCCUUGUAUCAAAAGUAAAUGAGGAAAAAAGCUAGAGUCGCAUCCCCACAUACUCUUCCCCCUGUCACCCUCAAUUAACACCUUCAAAAUGAAACUCUCUAAUCUAUAUGCCCCUCCAAAUUUUGGUAUUAUUGUAUAUAUUUCCAUAUAAAAUGAGGUGUGAUUUUGUCUUCCCUGCAAAAUUACCCAAAAAAAAAAAAAGAAGUAAAUGGUAUCAUUGUAUAUAGUUCCAUAUAAAAUUGGGUAUAGUUUGUAUAAGGUUGCACCCUUAAACAAUCAAAUUAAGGCGCACCUCCAAAUUUUGGUACCAUUGUAUAUAUUUCCAUAUAAAAUUGGGUGUGAUUUUGUCUUCCCCACUAAACUACCCAAAAAAAAAAAAACGAAGUAAAUGGUACCACUGUAUAUAGUUCCAUAUAAAUUUGGGUAUGGUUUGUAUAUGGUUACAACCUUAAACAAUCAAAUUAAAACGCACCUCCAAAUUUUAUCAAUAAUAUAAUUUUGGUGUCAAAAAUUCUUAGGAUGACUUUAAAAAAUUUAUAAAACUUUAAAUUUUAUAAUUAGAGAUUAAAAUAUAUUUUAAAGCUAUCACAAAAAGUUUCAAUAUCGAAACCACAUUUCUCGACACUAUUUGAAGGUGGGUUCUACUUUGAUUGUUCAGGGCCUCGGCUCUAUACAAACCGCACCUUUUUUUAAAUGGCACGCGUAUAAAGUAGGUUGCUGCCUGCGAAUCACGUGUUUCCUUUAAUCGUUUUUAGAUGUCAAAUUACAGAGUUAACCUUUGAAAUCUGAUAAUUUCACAUGGCAAUAAUCAUUUUUUAUUUUAUUUUAUUUUAUUUCUUAAUAUAUUUAGCUUGGCAAGUUUGGCGAGAGUAGACCGUAGUUAUGAAGAUUAGAACGGUGGACCGCUAGCGGGUACUUUCGCUAGUUCAAUCAAAAUAGAGUGAUAAAAUUUGGUGAUUUUUUAGAGUGCUAACGGUGGACCGCUAGCGGGUACAUUGAUGGAAAUAGGUCAUGACCAAAUUAGUUUUGGGAUGGUACAGUUCCCGGCCCAGCUCUCCUUCUAAAACCCCUCAAAUAUUUUUUUUAUUUUUUAAGUUUAUCUAUUGUUUUUUUAGGUCUUUUUUAGAUCUUCAUCCUAUAAAUCUCUAUUUUUAUUUUUAUUUUUAUUUUAUUUAUUUAUAUAUAUUUUUUGGAUCACUGAUUUGUAUUGAUAUGGAUUGUUGAUCCAGCAAGAUGACAUGGCAAUCAGGGUUUUAAAACAUUGUCCAAAGCAAAAACUGGAUUAGGUCAAAUAUCGGACCAGCUGGUUUUGACUAGUCAGAGCGAUUAACCAACAUUAAGUAUUUUUCUUGUAAUAUAUUUUAUUUUUUAAAAAGUAUUAUACCCAUUUUUCAUUUACUUUGUUUUGAAAAUCUGGUCCAACUAAUUUAACAAGUGGUCGAAUCAGUUUUAACUAGCCCAAAUCCCUUAUCAGUUCAGUGGCCGGUUAGAUCUUGAUAACACUAAGUAACAUUAGGGUUGAGAAUUGACACGAUUUGGAUCCGAAACCCAUAUUUCUGACCCUAUAUAUAUAUAAUUUAUAUCUGAAUCCGACAUAUUAUGAGGAUCCAGCUUCAGAUCUGAAUCUGAAUAUCUAGUAUCCAUUUUGAACCUAGAUCCAAUAUACUUGGAUCUGGAUCUAAUCAGAUCCGGCUGGGAUCUGACCCAUUCUCAACAUUCUCUAGAACCUGUGCUGCCAUUUACAGGCACAUUUCAUUGUUUUCUUUUAAAUAAAAAGAUUUUUUAUUUUUCUAUUUUCAUAUUGAAUAUAGUUUUGCACAACUCUCUAACUAGUACUUACCCAAAAAAAAAAAAAAGUCUCUAACCAGUGAGAUACACUGGCAUGUGCACAUGCGCGCGCAUGCACACACACACACACAUAUAUAUAUAUAUAUAUAUAUAUAAGGUGUCGAAAAAGUCUUCCCAACGACUAUAGGCAAAAAUGAACAGUGAUUUCGCCUAUCCUCAUCACCAUAAAAAAUUCAUCGCACGGUCACGAUUAUCCGAUAGUGUUUUAUUUUCAUUUUUUUUCUACAAAUCGGAAUGAUCUAAAAUUUAGAAUGUAUGUACAUAUUAGUGAGUUGCACCUAAUAAAAAUAGAAAAACAAUAAUUCGUGAAAAAAAAUUGACAAAAUACCCCUACAAUUUUUUGAGGGUAUUUUGAUCAAUUUUUUCAUGUAAAAUAUUUUUUUUAGAUUCACCUAUUUUUUAUGAACACACAUUCCAAAUUUCAUAAUAUUUUGAUUUAUAUAAAAAAAAUGAAACAUUACCGAAUAAUCAUGACCGUGCGAUGAACUUUGGAUAAUGAUGAGGGUAGAAGAAAUCACUGUUCACUUUCGCCUAUAGGUGUUUUAUAGUAUCUUCCUAAGGUGUCAACUUUAUACUGUUGCAGUAAUGUGGCGCUAUAAAAUCCUCUAAAAAACAAUGUUCUAAUGUUGGAAAAUCCUCCAACUAAUCAUCUCGGUGCCAAGAUGCAUGCAUAUGAAGAAAAAAAAUGAAAAAGAAAAAUUCCAUGGAAAAUCCCUAGUUAGCUAGCUUGUCUAUUUUUAAGAUUUCCUAGCAUUUAUAGAUAUGCUCAAUUUAUGCCAUUUUUGACAAUUUUAAAUUUAGGGAUGAAAAUAGGUUUCAAGCCAUUGCAAGGUUUCCACACCGGACCUACAUCUCGAUAAAUUUUAUAGGAGUGCCUUACUUCUAGGAGGGCGACUUAUAUAAACUUCACCCCAUAUGUAUAUCAAAUUCUUAUUUUAAAGUGGUGCAAGAUUAUUUUUUAGAUAAUAAAGAAUUCAGAAGUUAUUUAAACCUAUAACAGAUUAUUUCCUUCCUAUACACUCAAAGAAAUUCUUAUUCAUUUGGACCUGCUUUUGAGGGUAGAUCAUUCUUCAAAUUCCUUAUUUUUAAAGAGUUAACAUUUUUAGAUAAUAGAAAACUUGUUAAAGAAAUUCACAAUAACAAAAAAAAUUUAUGAAAUUCAAAAGCGAAAACCUUUUUAAGAAUCUUGAUAUUUUUCUUUGGUUAUUAUUAAAAUCUUAUUGUUUAAAACUCCACCAAGAAAUGUUCCCACUUUAAGGGACAGAAUAUAUAACUCAAAUCUGUCUCCUUAGGAGUCUCGAGUAAUAAGUUUGUUAAUAUUAGGACCCUCUUUAGCAUAUUAUUUUUUUAUUUCACUUGUUGUUAUUGAAUUAAUUAAAAUAAAAUUAUAUUAUUGCAUGAUGCAGUGAUGACAUUGGAAUAUUACACGUCACUCUAAAUGUUUGCAUUCACCAACUGAAAAUGAAUAGGUCAUUUUCUUCCCUAGCAACUGAUUACUUUUUCGUAUAAAUACUGUAUAUUUAACUGCAUCUAUAAAUCGUAGGUCUUCCCUAUGAGUUCGAGUGUCAAUAAGAAUUCAGUUGGUGAGAAAAAUGGAGCAAUUAGUUGCUUCGGUCAGUUUGGAGGAAGAUUUUAGAUUUUUUUUUAAAAAAAAAUCUAAUGUAAAAAAAUUAGAUAUUUUAGAUAUUUAUAUAUACAAAUAAUGGAAAAUUAAAAAUAAAAAUUUCAAAAAAAUAAAAAAUACUUUUAUAUAAAUAUUUCUUUUGUUAAGCUAAAGCUCCGAUCAAAUCCGACCGAAGUGGCCUGAAGCAAAGCGAAACGACAACACCAGACUUCACUUGGCUUCGGUCUAAGCCUAAAAUCCAAAAGCUUUGGCCAAAACAAAACGAAUUUGACAACACUUAUUAUUCUAAUUCUUACUCAUGAAGUGUUAGAAGUGGACAAUGGGAUUCAUCUCCAUCACUUGGUGUUAAAAUUGAAGUGUUAGAAGUGGACAAUGGGAUUCAUCUCCACCACUUGUGUUAAAAAUGGAAUGUGAAUAUGACAUCUAGUAAGCAAAAGUGGAAGUAGCUCUAUUGCAUCAUCAACAUCAUCAUCAUUUUGCUUUUUGCCCAUUAUACAUGAAUUUUGGUUCUCCAUUAUAUUCUAUCAAGAUUCAUGAUGGGUUUUAGUAAAAUUUUAUAUUAGCUAUCUAUCUAACACAAUCUUACCCUUUUACCCAGGCAUGGGAUAGAUUAAGUAAAAGUUUAAGGUCAUCACCCUUAUUAGACCGCAAAAUAACUCUACUACAUACUUCCAUUAAUUUUGUAAGACAAAAGGGGGAAAAAAGCAUGGGAGAGCAAUAACAACAAUAACAAUAGUCAUGAAGUCCAAGAUUUUUUUUUUUUUUUAAAAAAACUUUGUAUCUAAUCUAUGACACUCUUACAACUACCCAUUUUGAAAUUUAAAGGACAAGAAUGAUUGUGACCUCUUUAUAUAAAAAAAUAAGUAGUCUCUUUGUAGGUAAUCCCAAAACAAUAAUAAUAACAAUAGUCGAAAAUAUCAUUAAUUGGUCAAGACGCCUCUAAAACUCAAGGACGUACUUGCUUAAAUCGCACAUUUUUUAUUAAUGAAAGCAGCUACUUUUUGGGAAAUUUUAUGAAGUUACCCAUAAAAGAUUAAUAAUUUAAAACUUUGCCUAUUUUUUUAUUUAAUUUCAAAAUACCCAUAAAAUAAUUAUAAUACUUCUAAAAGGAUAAAUUGUUAAAUAAUCCAUCUCUUGUGGGUAUUUUGACGAACUUCCCUACUUUUUAAAAGUCAUUUGACUUGGCGCUUAAUAUUUUGCUAAAAAAUCCAAAUUUCUCUUGCUUUAUGUUUGUAACUAGACCAAGUCAGAGCACUUCGAUAAUUUUGCCCACUUAAGUCAUUUGAGCUGGAUGGUUAAGGGUAAGGUUUGCAUAAGGUGUCAAAUUUAUACCAUUGAAGUAAGUCGCAGUUCAAAACUAUACUAAAAAAUGCAAUUUCGGUGCCAAAAAGCUCGAUGACAUAAAAAUCUAUAGUUAUCUCUAAUUAUGAAAUUUUGAGCCUAAAAAUGAUGCAUAUCAUGCAACACUUAGUUUUUUUAAAAAAAAUAGACUGUCCAAAUAAUGUGUUACAAGAUAUAUUACUUUCAUGACUUGAAAUUUUUUUUUUCUUUUCAUAUUCUACGUUUUGAGCUUGAUAUGAUCAAUUUGAGGGUUUUUUAACACAAAUAUCUUUUUUUGUUAUAGAUUUUUAAAGUGUGCCUUCAAUAGUAUGAGGUUGCACCUUAUAUAAACUAUUUCCAAUAGUUAAAAGAAAAAAAUUCAUAUAAGGUUGCAAUCUUAUAUUGUAGAAGUAAGGUGUACUUCAAAAAUUCAGUAAAAAGAGUGUUUCGGAGCUAAAAAACCUUACAAUUGAUCAUUUCGACAUCGAGAUGUAUGGAUAUAAAGAGAAAAAAAAAAUUCAAGUCCAAAAAAUAGUAUAUAUUAUAACAAAUUAUAUGGAUCGGUUUAUUUCAAGAUUUUCAAGUGCUUAUAGAUCUAAUCGAUCCGCAAUAUUUUUAUAGUUUUAAAUUUAAUAAUUAAGGUUGAGCAUGGAUUUUCAAGCCAUUGUAGCGUUCCCAACACUAGAACUACAUCUUCUAGCAAAAUUGAAAGGUGCACCUUACUUUAAUAGUAUAAGGUGUAUACCUUAUAUAAACCUCACCCAAUUUUUAGGUAUCCAUUUGCUUCUAAAUUAAAAAUAUUUAUUUUUACUAUAAAUAUUAUAAUGAACACAAAGAUAUUUUUUUUCUUAUAGCAUAUUGGUUCUACUCCUGCUGUCCAAAGACCUCUUUGGGAGUAUUUUUCUGUGUUUAAAAUUUUAGGAACACUUAAGAGCUAUUAGAUGUUUAUUCUCACAUAAAAAAAGGUGUUUGAGUUUUUAACACUUAGAUUUCACUAUCUAAAAAUUAGAUGAUCUCUAUUCAAUGUCGAGACAAUAUUUUUUUAAAAUACAUUAUUGAUAUUUAUUGAGGUUAAUUUAUGAGUUGGAUAUGUGACAUCCCUAAAAUUUAUAAUUCAAAAAUUAAUUCUAUAAGAGUAUUUUUUUUAUUGGGUAAGUAAAUGGGGAUUUAGGCUCAUACUCAUUUAGUGAGAAUAGAGUCCCGGCUCGUUGAACACUCUUUUCUUAUAAAGAAUUAAUAAUUUCAAAUCCAUAAGAAGUGGAGGGGUUCAUUUAGCCCCUAAUGAUAAUCAUCAAAUGCAAUAAUGUAGUGGUCAAUUGACAACGAGAUUUUUGACAUUUCGAGUAAGUGGGGGGGAUGUCUUUUCAUUUUAUUUUAUUUAUUUACAAGACGUCUUUUCAUUCUUUUUGGGUGAUAGACUUUUCAAAAGUGAGAUAAGGUGCGUCACGAUUAGGAUUUGCCUCGAAUCACAUUUGUAGUUGAUUCAUUGCUUCCAACUCACAAAUCCUCUCGAAUUAAAGAAGGGUGUGGUUUGUAUAAGGCCGCGGCCCUUAACUAUCAAAGUAAGUCGUGCUUUUAUAUAGCGUUGAAAGAUAUAUGAUUUGAAAUUUUAUUUUUAUAUUUAAUUAUAAAAUUUAAAAUUUUAAAAAAUAGAGUAGAUUGAUUAAAUUUAUAGUCACUUGAAAAUCAUGAAAAUUGACGGCCCAAAAAUGCAUUAUAAGAUGUAUUAUUUCUAAAAUUUAUUUUUUGUCAUGUCCAUUAAUCUUGAGCUUAAGAUGAUCAAUUUGAGGAUUUUUGGGCAUUUAAACAACUUCUUCUAGUGCAUUUUGAGAUGCACUUUACUGUGAUUGUUUAGGGCUUCUCCGUUAUUUAAAUUUUUUCCAAUAAAUUAAAAAGUUAUUUGAAGGUACGUCUUAAUUGGAUUGUUUAAGGUUGCAACCUUCUAGAAACCACAACCUUUGUAUUAUGAUUUUUGUGGUUUAUAGAUAAAAGAACAACAAUUUGUAGACUGAAUUUGCCACUAACGGCUAUGCAUCAUUUUAUUCCUUUGAAUGGACAAAAAAGACGCCUAGUUUUGUUUCAUAUACGAUGUGUACGAUGAACUUUUCCUUGGAUGAGGCCUUGGUCCUGGUUUAUAUUAUUGGCAUUGGGAAUGGAUAUGCUAUCGAAUAAGUGAUGGGUAUAAUCAAAUUAAAAUCACUCUAACUAAAAUAGUCCUAAGAGUGUUUUACGUCAAAUGAAAAUAGUUAAAUUAAAAUUAAAAUUAAAAUCAAUCUAACUAAAAUAGUCCUAAGAAUGUUUUAGGCCAAAUGAAAUUAGUCAAAUUAAAAUAGUCAAAUAAAAAUAGAUUUUCAGAUAAUCUUAAGAAUGUUUUACGCCAAAAAUACAUGUUAUGAUAAAACUUGGAUGUACGUCUUAAUUGGAUUGUUUAAGGUUGCAACCUUAUAGAAACCACAACCUUUGUUUUAUGACUUUCCUAACUGGUUUAUAUAAAAAAGAACUAACAAUUUGUAGACUGAAUUUGUCACUAACGGCUAGGCAUCAUUUGAUUCCUUUGAUUGGACAAACGAUGCUUAGUUUUGUACAAUAUACGAUGUGUACGAUGAACUUUUCCUUGGAUGAGGUCUUGGUCAUGGUUUAUAUUAUUGGUAUUGGGAUGGUAUCUGCUAUCGACGAAUAAGGGAGGAGUAUAGUCCAAUUAAAAUCAGUUUAACUAUUGGUCAAGUGGGUCAAUUGAGUUUAAAAUGAUAAAAUAAUAAAAAAAUUUAUAAAAUAUAAAAUAUAUUAAAAAAAUUAUUUAAUUUUGUUUCACCAGUUUGAUCAACCUCAUCCAAUUUGAAUAACCAAAAGUGAUCACAUCUUGGUUUUAACUUGGUUUUUAUAAACCAAUUUGAUUAAAUUAUGCAGGCGCUAGUUGGUUAUCCAAUUGAGUGGACCUGCAAGUCCAAACCAGUAUUGGUAACAAGUAUCGAAUAACAAUGUGAAGGCUUAUAAAUCCAUUUCCCCUCCUUAUUGUGGAAUUUAGUGCUCUAAAAAUGGUACAGAUUUGGUCACUUCUCCUCCUUAUUGUGGAAUUUAGUGCUCUAAAAAUUGGUACAGAUUUGGUGAAUAUUUGAUGAUUUGAAAUUGGCAGUCUUGAAGAGUGUGGCAUGAUAAACUACUCUUAGGGGCUGUAACUAAUUCUUUUUGGAUCCAUAUUUGUCGAGGAGGAAAUUAUGGAUCCGUAGAGUUUUUGGUAUCAAGACCAGUUUUUUCAAUAAAAUGUGGACCACAACCAUAUACAGUCAUGGCCCUGUUACUUUUGUGUUGAGAACAGUGCUCGCAUACUCGGCCGGUCCAAUUCGGAACUAGCCGGUCAAACCGGAACUAGGCAUUAGCCGAUUCGGUUUUAGCCGAUUUGGUGGCCUAGCUAGGUUUUUUAAAGUAUUUUUUUUUUUAAAAAGGAUUUAUUUGUAAUGUAUUUUUAAAUGUUCUUUCUAUUCAUUUUAGCGAGUAUUGGAAAGUUUUUUGGCCAUGCAUAUUUAUUUUCAUAUUUUUUAUCUUUUUUAAAUUUUUUUGAAAAUACUUCUAGACACAAAUCGGUUUCUUAAAAUUCAUUUUUCAAUGAUUUUACAACUUCAAUUGGAUGUGCUUUGUUUAAUCAAACCUUUCAUUUUUUUUUUGUAUUUUUUUAUUUUUUUAACACCUUUUGGACCUGUCGGGACAUAAACAAACAGUUUACCAAUGACUCGGACCUGGUCCUUGGUCGGUUUCCAAGGCCGAUUUGAUUUUUCAAAUACUGGUUAAAAAAGUACAUGAUCAAUCUGAUCACUUCAGGCACAAGGAAGCCACAAACACCCUAAUACUUAGAUGUGAAACCAUAUGACUAGGCUCAUCCUUUGGUUAUAUAUAAAGUUCAAGAAAUUAUUUAUUGAAAAUCGGUUAUUGGUAACCAUCAAAUCGAAUGGCUCAGAGUGACUGUACCUUCUUGGCAAAUAGUCUCAUGGUAUACAAGCCCUUUUGUUUCCUAAUGUUCAAAAGGAGAUCACAAUAAUAUAUUCAUAAUGGGAUAUUCUGUGCGUCCCAAAGGCAUGUCAUAAACCCUUCACCAAAAAAUCGAAUGGAUAAAUGAAUUUUGUAUUCCUUAACAUACGGCCCAUGAAGGGCCCAAUAGAGAAGCACACGUAACUUUGUCAACAAAUCAUGCCAAAAGUAAAUCAACCAAACACGAUAAUGAAGACUUAUGCCAGUAUCGCUUUCAAAUUGAUUCAAUCCCUUAUUGUAUAUGACCCACCUAUUGGUAUAAGAAUAUAAGAUUAUUCACUUGGCAUACAUGGACUGAGUAUAAGAAAGAGUCAGGGGAAUGAUAGCUUAACUCAGUGUUUAAAAACUCAGAACCGAUCGAUCACCCACCGGUCCAGGUCGACCAGCCGUGUCGUCUAGACCAGAUCCAAACGCCCGCCUGCCGCCCAGGCCCAUUAUCAGCCCUAUUAGAGAUUGAAGAUGCAUUGACUUAAACAGAGUUAAAAAACCAAUGACAUUGAAUGCAUGAAGUAAAAUAAGCAAUGAAUAAAUAAUAAUAUAAUGGAUUUGUACACAAUAACAUCAUCUAUUUUUGCUAUAUGGAAGUCACCAUCACUUUUAAUUGGAGAUAUGAUUUAAUGACUUGAAAAUGUCUUUUGGCGAUCAGAAAUUUGGUUGCUAGAUACAGAGUUUUUUUAAAACUGCAGUAUUUCCCAUUUUGGCGACCGAAAAUGCUACAUUGUAAGGAAGUCCACAUUUUUCAUAAAGGAGAAAUGUGGACUUCCACAGCCCCACAUGAAAGAGUAAAUUGCUCAAAAAUGGGAAAUGUGGAUUUAGAUUUUUUGGAUUAUUUUGUCAGUUUUUAAAUGUAUACUAAACUUCAAAUUUUCUUAUUUUGAAAUCAGAUUGAGAUAAACUUUAGAAGAUAGGUGCGCCUAAUUGAGUAGUUUUAUAAAAAAAAUAUAAAAAUAUAUUUAUUUAAAAUAAAAUGACCAAACUACCUCUUGACGUUUCAAGGGAAAAUUAGUGACUUUAUUUUUAGGAAAAAAAAUUAUGGGUGCAAAUUAUGUAGAUGUAUGGAGCACACAAUUUCAGAUCUAUCAAAUUUAUAAAAAUAAAUAAAAUUGAACUACUCUGAACAAUCCAAUCAAGAUCUAAAUAUUGCGAUCGAAAAAGUUUAGAUAGGGAGUUUCAUAUUGCUUCAGUUAUUCUAUUUUUCUAGAAAAUAUUUUACAUUUUUUACAACUUUAUGCGGGGGAGAAUCAUAGACACCCAAAUUUUUAGCCCAAUCCCAUGCAUAGAAAAUAAAAUAAAAUGGAAAUACUCAGAUGUGCUGUUGACCGUUAGGAUAUCUGAACCAUUGUAAAUUUUCCAAAUCAUUUUUAUAUUAUUUUUGGCUGUUGGGUGGUAAAAAAGUACAUAAUCCAAUCUGAUGUAUAGAAAAAAAAAAAAAAAAAAAAAAUUCACUUAAACCUAGAAAGGAGAGAAAUUAUCUAAAACAGCUAAUGAUAAAACUACACAAACGUCAUAUGGUAUGGGAACGAUAAAAUUUAAAUGGAAAAUUAUAAAAAAACACCUUAAAAUAUACUAUUUAUGUAACUUACCCCCACUUUAAUCUUUUCCCUUACGUUUUCUCCCAAAACAACCUUUUUUCGUAAAAACCCCCAAGAUAAGAAGUUGUUAUUUAUUUUUUUGACGAAAAUACCCUUCCCGUACAAACCAAAUCAAUUCACGGGUCCCAAGUAGCGUACUGCUGAAGCACGUAUUUGCACUGCCGGAGUGCGUUCUAUAAUGCUGGAGCGCUGUGGCUCAGACUUGCAUUGCUGGAGCAUACAUUCAAAAUGCCAGAACGCUUGUUUAAACUACUGGAGCGCGGUCUUCCAUUGUUGGAGCGCUGUGGCUCUAGAUACUUCAUUGUUGGAGCAUGUCUUUGCACUACUGAAGUGAGUUUUUAUACUGCCGGAGCGUUGUGGCUCAAACCUGCAUUGCCGGAGCACACAUUCAGACUGUCGAAGCACGUGUUUAUACUGCCGGAGCACAUGUGAAAACUGGAGAGAGAAGGCCGUGUGAAAACAAGCAAGGAUAGUUUAGUCUUAUUUCAUGCUACUUUUAGAUUUGGGGGUUAUUUGCGAGGAAAGAUUGUUUGGAGAAUAAAAGUGAGAGAAAAGAUUGAGUUGGGGGUAAGUUGCAUGGAUAGUCCAUUUUAACGUAUUUUUUACGAUUUUUCCAAAUUUAAACAUCAUUGAGCACAUAUAACUCAUUUCAGCUGGCCAAACUUUUUAUGUAUCAUUAUGAAUAUCAUUUCCUAUGUAUUGGUAGUAAUGCCGAGCCUUGGGGUAACCUCCUCGAUUUCUUAGCAUGGUUGUCUCCCCCACUUCUAAAUCCUCCCAUUCAAACAAAUAAGAACACGUAUAUAUAUACUGUGUUCCCCUCGGGCAUAUAGUUUACUUCUACUGAGUUUUUUUUUCAAUCUGAAUUUGGGAACUACUUAAGAAUUAGUAGAUGAUUAUUCUAAAAAAAAGAAAAGAAAUUGAAGUUUGAAUUUUCUAACACUUAGAUAUUACCAUCUAUGACUUGGAUGGUCUUUAUUCAAUCUCGAGAUAUUAUUAUUUCAAGUGCACAGAGAGUACAAUUAGGAAAUUGUUUUUGAGGUUAAUCUAUGUGUUGAAGAAAUUACAUCCCCAAAUGUUGGCGUCCUCAAAUUAAUUCAAGUUGGGGUUUUACCAGAGCGAGUAAAUGGACAUCCAACUUAGAUGGUCUUUGAAGUUUGGGGAAGCUACUUAGGCUACAUUGUCAAAUUCCUCAGGUCUUUAAUAAUGUUUGAAUCACCUCGUAUGUAUCCUAAUGUUUGGAUGUUCGGACUCCCAAUUCCAUUUGGAAUCCUUAAAACCAUUCCUAAUUCCGUCAGAAGAAUACUUAGAUACACUUAAAUACGUAAAACAUUUUUUAUUUUAGGAAAAUUAUAAAUACCCCCAUGAGCAUAGAUAUGUUACCCCUAAUACUUUUUAAAUCACACUACCAACCCCGAUCAUAUUUUUGAACCGUCCCAUAAGUUAAAAAGUAGGUUUUUAAAGGAUAAAAAUACCCCCAAUUUAAAUCUAUAUUCCUCUCCAUCCCUUCAUUCACUCUCAAGACUUUCAUAUUUUUAGAGAAUUUGUCUCCCUAAAAACUUGAAAUUUGAGAUACUUUCACUAAUUUUUUUUAGUUUCUCUUUAAAAUUCGAAAUUUGUGAUACUUUAUCUCUUUAGAAAAUUUUUGAUAUUGUUUCUCUCUAAAACUUUUGAGAUAGUUCUCUCUCUAAAUUUUUUUUCGAUGAUUUUGAAAUUUCAAAUUUGAAGUUUUUAGAGAGAGAAACUAUCUUAAAUACAUUAAAGGUACUUUUUUAAAAAAAAAAAUAUUUUUUUUAUCAAGGGGAAUAUCUAAAAUUGUCCCUUUAUUUUUUGAGAUUUCACUGAGUUCUCCUGUAAAUUUUCCCUUGUCCACUGUUUACAAGCUUCUUAAGUCCAAAGAUCAGGAACCUUCUAUACCCAUGUAUCUCUUGGGAAAGGUUUCUAUAUUUCUCCUCCGAUUCAGCUGUUCAAUUUAGAUCAAGUGAGUCAGUUACCGUUUGAUCGAGAUCCAAUGCCUCAAAAUAUUUUAAUUUAAUUUUUUUUACAAAUUAUAUAAAAAUAAAAUUUGGUACAUGCUAUAUUCUCAAUUGGUCGCACCUAAAAACGAUAUUAAAAAUGAAUUUUUGAUAAAAUAUAAUGACCAAAAUACCCCUAAAGAUUUCAGGGGUAUUUUGGCCAUUUUAUUUUAUUGGGGAUAUUUUUUAUAUUUUACAAGUGCAAGUUUAAGAGAGUUGUGGCCGCUCAAAAUUUGGUGUCAAAAUAAUUUGUAUAAAAAAUUAAAAAUAAAAUAGUGUAGAGACGUAACAUUAUGAUUGGGGCCAUAUCAGCCGUCCAUUCAGAAUGGGUGGUUGGAUAGCGGGAAUUAUAUAAGUUUUAUGCAUCAAGGGAAGCAUAGAAAGCUUGCCCGUAUCUCUUAAUCCAAGAUACCUAAGAUUAAUAAGGUGACCCACUUCAUUGGGUCAACACUCUUAACAUAAAUGCCUUCUAGGUCCAAGGCCCUUAGAAAUGUGGAGUCAGAGAACAAGUGAGCCAACCAUAAUGGUUGCAAAUCGUUUAUACUGAAGGCACACAGUAAAACGGCGAUCGAGACUGCUAAUUCACCAAUCCAAACGAGUUUUUGGGGUGCUCGAUUAAAGUAACAAAUCCAUUUUUUAAAUCACUGUGCUCGACAGUAAAAUGCAUGAUGCAACAUUUUCAUUUCUACGUGCAUAUAUGACAUCUUUUUGGACUGAGACAUGCUGGCGUCUAUUAACGAAUUUGCUAUUUUUGCUAUCAUGAAAUGCCUUGAUAGUCUAUUUUUCCAAACUAAGAGACCAAGCUUUGCUGCACAACAUGCAUUGACAUGCCUCUUCGACCAAUAUUUUCUAUGUAAAUCGAACUUCAAUCUAAUGGUUUUUCUAAAACAAACCCAAGUAACUUCCUCUUUUUUUUUUUUUUUUUGAAUGUUCCAAGUUACUUCCCCCUUUGCCCUACCGACCUUUUAUGAAUAUCUGUGAAACCCAUAACCUAAUCAAUUUCGAACGAGAAAUUUCAUAGUCCUCUAAAAAUAACGAGCACAAAAAAAAAAAAAAAAACAAAGAUACCUUGGAGAGGCGACACACCCAUAAAGUUUAGUGCCAAGACAGCUCUCACUGCUUCAUGGUGGGCAUUUGCCGAAGUAGAUAUUGUUCGGGGUUGUUUAGACAUCAUACCACCUACAAUAAGAGUUGCAAACAAAAAACUAGAGUUGGCAAUGGGUUGAGUGGCAUGACCCAAUGUUAAAAGGUACGGUGGCCUGAGGGCCAGACAAAGACCGGACCACCAUAGCCCAAAGUGGCAGGGUGGGGGUGUCUGUGUCCGCCCUGCCCCGACCGCUCAAGCCUGACCCACAAAUUAUUGCCUUAGUUCUGCCUAGGCCUGGUAGUGGGGGCAGCACCUAGUCGAGGCCCGGGCCAAGGGUGUCUGAGUCAGCCUAGGGCCUAGUCGAGGCCAGGGCUGACCCAAACAUGCUUCCCCCGCCCCAAGCAUAGCCUCGCCCUAUGCUUUUCUUUGUUUUUAUUAAUUUAUUUAUUAGGCCAAUCUCGUUCUCACCCUUAGGGAAUACUAUGACAAUCUUAAACAAGGAGUCUUGCUUCUUGUUUCAUGUCUGAAGGAGAAGUGUCUCCAUCUGCCAUCCAAAAUGCUUCCUUGCAGAGUAGGAUUAUGCAUCAUAUUCUUAACUCAUAAAUUGGUGAAGAGACAUCCCCUUUGCAUUCCUUAAAGCUGGAAAUGAAUAAUCGACCACUUUCCACACUUCUUCAUCCCAUGCAUCAUCCAACAUUGCAAUGCACUUCUUAUCACCUAAAUUCAUGUGGAGCAUUUCUUGUAGUUUUUUAUCUUCCAUCUCCUUCUCAUGUCUUUGAGAAACCCUGCUAGGAUAUUACUUAAAAUCUCUUUCACUGUUGAUGAAUAUGAAAAACUAAGCCAAACAUGAGAAUCAAAGUGUUCAUUAAUGGUGUGUCCAUUAAGGGUAGUCUUCCACCAUCUGUCCGUGCCCAAGAUCGUGAUUACCUUUAGUCCGAGGAAAUGAUGAUGGAAGAUCGUGAUUACCUUUCAAAGGGAAGAAGAUGACGGGACCUGCUCGAAUGUCAUGGCUCAAAGAGGAAAUGAUGAUGGAGAUUCCCUUGUAGCCAUGGCAUUCGAGCAGGUCCCGUCAUCUUCUUCCCUUUGAAAGCUCGGCCGAUUCUUUCUCUUAGCAGGGUCAUCAGCAUGUUCUGUGUCUUGGUUCCAAAGUGAUGGUUGAGUUUAGAGUUCCCCAACCAAGUGAGCUAGCAGGAUCAAGCACUCUUCGCAUCCGGUUUGCCAUUGUGUAUUCUCCAUUUACGAAGUGAAUUCGUUGAGGGUAUCCUCAGCAUCAUAGGCUGGCCAAUAUGCUAUACAAGCACAUUUCUUUUUCUAGUAUUUGUUCCUUCACAUGAAAAACAUCAUUUAAAAGCGGUCACAACCCUUCACAAAAUCUUUAAUGGGUAAAAGAUAUCCCAAUAAUCUUUAAUGGGUAAAAGAUUUCCCAAUUACCAGUAUUGGGCUUACCUUCUACUUAUUAUUUCAAUAUGGUUUAUCUUCAAAAAAUACCUCUAAAUAAUGCCUUAAAUGCCAAUCUUCAGGUUUAGGGCUUGGAAUUUAGGGUUUUAAGAAUUUUAAAAAUUAACCAAUCUCAAAUUGGUUGUCUACGUAUCUUAUUCAUGCCAUCACUUAUUCCAUUCCUAUUUGCACGCAAGCAUAAUUAUAGUUGAGCCCCCCAAAACAAGUCAUUGUAAACAUCAAGUUAACAAAUUAAAAUAAAGAUUGUUUCAAACCGUUUUAAGCACUCUAGUACUUAUUCAACUAUUCUGUUAGCUGCUCAAAAUGAUUAUAUUUUGCAUUUAAAACCUGAACAAACAAUCCUAUUGUAAUAUAAUUUAGUACAUUAAUAGUUCCAACAGGCCCGUACCGAAAGAUAUAACCACCCUGUCUAAUUUCAGGUCCGAACUAAAAAUGUGUUCUUUUUUUAAUUGAAAUCUCUUGAUCCAUACUUCUUAUUGGUUAAUUCAGUGGUAGGAAUUGAAUUUGAUAUAUCAAUGCUAACAUCAACAGCUAACAACUCAAGCUCAACUGGCAACAACUCAAGCUCAAACCCGAUUCAAGCCAAACUCAAUCCCUAAAAAUUCUCAAAUUGGACUAAUAAAAAAUCUAUCAAAACAGAAAAACAAAACAAAAGAAAAGAAUCUACAGGAACUAAAAAGGAAUUUUGGAGUUUAAGAAACAUGAAAUAUCAUGAAAAAAAAAAUACUUCAGGAAAAAAGUGGUUUUAGGAUUGAAUAAGGCCGAUUCCCUAUAUUUUUUGAAAACCGGUCCCCCCACCACUGAUUUCCAAUUCGGAUAAGCAAUUCUCAAUCCAAACCUGUGAUUUUUUAAUAAUCCAAUGUGACGGAACUAUGAUUCACUCAGCACCAUGACUUCAUGUAACCAUCACACAAUACUAAGCUAAAGAGUUUGAGAGAGAGAGAGAGAGAGAGAGAGAGAGAGAGAGAGAGAGAGAGAGUAGACGUAAGUAGGACGGACGAACUACGAGUAAUUACUAUUAGUAAAGUUAAACAAAAAACGAAAAGAACAACUAAAGUAAAAAACUUAAAACAAGUAACUAAACUACUAUNNNNNNNNNNNNNNNNNNNNAGAGAGAGAGAGAGAGAGAGAGAGAGAGAGCAGUAGCAAGUUGAGGCCAAAUCAGAAUUCAUUGAAAUUCAAAAAAAGAAAAGCACUGAAAAAAAAUUUAACAGCUAAAACUCAUGCAACCUCCCUUUCAAAGUUUCAGGUGUCGGUCAUAUUACAAUUUUCUCAUCCUCAAUUUAUCAUAUAGAAGAAAUUCUAUCUUUACAAAAACCCCAUAGAAUUUCCACAAAAAAAGAACAACAAAACCAGCGGACAAUGAUUCUGCAUCUUCCACUGAAUUUGGUAUUAACACCACCCUCCCAACAACCAUAAAACAAAAAAAUACCAACAAAACCGAGAUAAAGGAAAAAAAAAUAUUAUUAGAGUUACAAGAAAUAACCAGGCCUUCUUGAGUCUCCAUUAAAGAAGGGAUGGGAAAGGGCCUCCCUUGCCUUGAGCCUCUGUGUGGGUUCAUAGCGAAGGAGGCCCUGCAAAAGAUCGAUGAGAUCUCCUGCAGAGUGGUCGACAUGCUGCAUAACCAGAUUCUGCAUAUGCAUUUUAGAAUUCAGUUAUCAGACCAACAAUAUUUGAAAGAGAGAGAGAGAGAGAGAGGUUUCCUAUAAAGAGAUCCUCCUAGUAACUUCAAUUUAUACGUAUACUAGCAAUAGAACAUGCAACUUUAAUCCAUGUGCUAUUUUUACAGAUAAAAAAUAAUAUACUGUUAAGAAUUUAUUGUUAAAAAGAGACUCGUGAUUUAUUCAUUGUUUGAAUACUCAUGUUCUAUCAAUGUAAAAAUUUUGAUGAACACUUUUGGUUUAACUAUUCCAUGUACGUGCAAAUAUUUUACAAAUGCAAAUUUGAAGUUCUCAAUGUAAGCUCGUAAGUUGCUAAAAGUAAAAAAAAAAUUGACAAUGUCUUUCCUUUUCUCUCGAGUCUCAAGUGAUCAUCUCUCCCUCUCUUUGCUUUCAUCUCUAUUUGUUUAUUCAAUGGUGAACAACGUGUCGACUGCUAAAUUUCCAUUUAUCUAAGGGUGGCAACAGGUCGAGUAGCGUCCACGUCGACCCCGACCCCUACCCUACCCCUACCCCAACCCCAACCCUAACCCCAACCCCAACCCCAACCCCGAUCUGGACCUGCAAACCCAAGACUAGAAAUUUUAAAAAAAAAUUAAGAAUUCUUUUACGUAUUAUUUAAUAGGGUGUGGUUAGUAUAAAGUGAGGCUCAAAACAAUCACAUUAGAGCCGACAUUUAAAUAGUGUUGAAAAAUGUGGUUUCAAUACUGGAAAUUUUUGUGAUAGGCUUAAAAUAUAUUUUUAUCUUUAAUUAUAAAAUUUAAAGCUUCAAAAAUAAUGUCGAUAGUGCAGAUCUAUAAAAACUUGAUAAUUGACGGUCCAAAAUGGGUUACAAUAUGCACUAUUUCCAAAACUUGAAAUCCUUUUUUGUCUCAUGUCCAUGCAUCUUGAUGUUGGAUGAUCAAUUUGAGGAUAUUUGGACAUCAAAACAACCUCUUCUAAUGAAAAUUUUGAGGUAGGCUCAAUUUGAUUGUUUAGAGCCUUGGCUCUAUAUAAACUUUUUUCUAUUUAAUAUAUAUCUUUAUAUAUUUUAUAUAUUUAAAGCUAGGUCAGGAUAGGUUGGGUCAACCCGGACCGCACUGGGCCCAACCCGAUAGGGGUCCAUACGAACCACAGACCCAGAUCCGAAACCAACCAGCCAGGUCCAAAACAUGGACCCGGACGCACGUCGAUCCAAUCCCAUCAGGUCCACGGGUCAACUUGGCCCAAUUGCCACCCCCACUUUCAUCUCUCUUCUUUUGGUCUUUGUUUUUUAUUUCUCCUCUCUCCCUCUCUUUGCAGAUUUUUGUUUGCUCAAUAAAUCUACCCUUUUUUUCUAAAUUUAAGUUUCAUAAAUAAAACUUAAGCGCAUUCCUUUGGUAGCACAUUUCAAACACCUAAAAGCUUUAUUUUUUUUGGUAGCAAGUUGAGAGAGCAUGACAGUCAAUUUCUUGAAGGCUUAGAGAGUUCCAUGAGAAAGAGUGGGUACUUAAAAGCUAGAAGUUACGCCUACCUGCUUUAUAUGUGUGUAAAAAUCAAUAAUAAAAUCAAACAUAUACUGUGUAUGUGCAUGGAAAAAUAACAACCUAAUAUUGAAUAGAGACCUGCCAACUUUUGAAUAGUCAAAUAUAAAAGAUGAAUUAAAGAAAAAGGGAUACAAAUGUAUAUGCAAGAUAAGAUUACACAAAGAGCCAGUUUGGCUUUUCCUACUUCGAUGUAACCUACGCUGAAGUACACUUGUAAGGUGAUACAGCCAAGCAUGCUAAUAUUCUAAGAAACUAUAGGAAUGGCAUGAGAUAAAAAAGCCCAUACCCAAAUUCACACAUCUCUCUAUGCCCUAAAUCCUCUCUCUCUCUCUCAUAAUAUUACUUUCUAAAAUUAACAAAGAUAGAUGAACAAAAAAGAUCACCACAAAGAGGAAAAAUAAAAUAAAAUCUCUCGGUUAGGCAACUCAUUUCUCUAACCCCACUUCUUAUCUCGUUCUCAUUCAAAAGAGUGUACUUCAACUCUCCCUAUAAACCAUUGUACUAUGUUCUCCCUUCGAAACUCAUAUUUCUCUCUUUGUUAAGAGUGGACUUCAACUCUCACUAUAAACCACUGCCCUAUGUUCUCCUCUCCUCAUAUUUCUCUCUCUUUGUUAAGAGUGGACUUCAACUCUCCCUAUAAACCACUGUCCUAUGUUCCCCCCUUGAAACUCAUAAUUCUCUCUUUGUUUGUAUAUGUAGAGUCUAUCCCAAGAGGUAAAUUUAAAUCCUCUCUCUUUAGUCAGAUAAAACAAUUUCUCUCUUUGUUUGUAUGUGUAUGUAGAGUAUAUCCCAAGAGGUAAAUUUAAAUCCUCCCUCUCUUUACUUCAGAUAAAACAAUUUGAUGGGACAAUGAAAAUCCAUGACAAUGGGUCGUACCCCUUGUGGACUCAUACCCGGACCCGGACCUGAGGGGUCCAAAAAUAUAAUACCCGGACCUGAGGGGUCCAAAAAUAUAAUACCCGUACCCGAGAGGGUUCUAAGGACCCGGGAAGCGGACCCGACAUGCAUUUUUUAUGUAUUAGAUUUUAAACCUCCCCCACCCCUUUUAUAGUUCUCAUACCUCUAUGAAUUUGUUCACUUCUUCGAUGUAGAAUUAAUCCCACCCACGUAUUCUCUCUCUCUACACUUUUUUGAAGCGUAUUAAAAUCUUUUAAAAGCUGGGAACCAUGCCACCCACCGUGCAUGUGAAAACUGAAAAGCUUCCAAGAAAAAAACAAAGCAUUAAGAUAAAGACAACUAGCCUAUUGCAAGAAAAUGCGCAUAUAGCCCCAUACAUCUAUACCCAUAUAUGGCUGGCACGUGAAAACUGAAAAAACAACAUUUGAGUCAUUUUCAAGAAAAGUGCAUUGGCCACACGUGGCAGUGAAAUCCAUACAUAUAGGUCUCUCUUGUUAAGAGGUCCUCUAUUAUAUAUAAUAAAUACUGGUCUGGGUACCCGCUAGGUCGGGUAUAGCCAUACCCGUACCCGAAAUUGUUCGGGUAUCACUUAUUGGACCCGAACCCUACUUGUAGAUCCAAAACUUGGAUCCAUACCCGGACCCAUGUCGGGUAUACUCGUCAGGUCUUGGGUCGGGUCCAGGUACCAGACCUAAUAUAGUAUAUACAAUAGCUCAUAAGAAUUCCUACAAGCAUUUUACUAAAUCUUAUGUCUCCAAACACUCAUAAUAUACUGGACCUGAACCCGAUUGAGACAAGACGAGUAUACCCAACAUGGGUCUAGGUUAUGGAUCCAAGUUUUGAACCCGCGGGUAAGGUCCGGGUCCAACAAGUGAUACCCGAACAAUUUUGGGUACCAAGAUUACAGGUAUGGCUAUACCCGACCCAGCGGAUACCCAGACCCGUAUUUAUUAUAUAUAAUAGAUGACCCUCGUAACCAGAGAGACCUAUAUGUAUGGACUUCACAGCCUUCCCCCGCCCCAUUUAUAGAGGUUACACCCCAAUAACUAUAUACAACUUUUCAAUGUGGGAUUAAUCCCAUGGUAGCUUUAUAAGAGACUUCACAGCCACGUACGGCCACUGCAAGAGAGAGGUUAGUUGUAUCUCUAACAUUUUUUCUUGGAAAUGACUCAAAUGUUGCUUUUUCAGAUUUCACGUGCCGACCACAUAUGGGUAUAGCCGUAUGGGGCUAAAGGCAUUCUCUUGCAAUAGGCCGGCUGUCUUUAUCUCAAUGUGUUUUUCUUGAAAGCUUUUUCAGUUUUCACGUGCACGGUGGGUGAGAUGGUUCCCAGCUUUUAAAAGAUUUCAAUGCAUCCCAAAAAAAGUCUAGAGAGAGAGAGAAUGUGUGGGUGGGAUUAAUCCCACAUCCAAGAAGUGAACAAAUUCAUGGGGGUGUGAGAACUAUAAAACGGGUGGGGGAUGUUCAAAAUCUAAUACAUAAAAAAAAGCUUGUCGGGCACGGGUUUGGGUCCUAGGUCCUUAGUACCCUCUCGGGUACGGGUAUUGUAUUUUUGGACUCGUCGGGUAUGGGUCCACAAGUCUGACUCAUCGGGGCACUUCGGGUACGAGUCCGAGUUCAAUGGGAUCCAACCCAUUGCCACCGCUAGUGGUAAGAGAUCAUGUACCUUUUAGUUCUAUGUUAUAUUAUUGAUAUUAGUUCAAUUAUAUUAUUCUUUACCUUAUAAUAUGGACUUUUAUAUAUGAGUGUGGUUUGUAUAAGGUUGAGGCCCUAAACAAUCAAAGUAAGGGGCAACUUCAAAUAGAGUCGAAAUAUGUGGUUUUAGUAUCAAAAGUCUUUAUGAUGACCUGAAAUUUUAUUUUCAUCUCUAUUUAUAAACUUUAAAUAUUAAAAAAUAAUGUAGAUCGAGCAGAUCUACGAACACUAGAAAAUUGACGGUCUAGAUAAUACAUUACAAGAUGCACAAUUUCCAAGACUUGAAAUCUAUUUUUUGUCAUGUCCAUAAAUCUUGAGGUUGAGAUGAUCAAAUUGAACGUUUUCAGCAUCGAAACAACCUCAUCUUGUGAAUUUUUAAGGCAAGCCUUAAUUUGAUUGUUUAGGGUCUCACCUUUAUAUAAACAAAUUCCUUUAGGUAUAUGCAAUAACCGAACCUACUCCCGAAGCAAUAACCAAACCUAGAAAACUUUUAAAGAAUGACAUAUGUGCAUGAACCUAACUCAGGCUAUAUAUAUAUAUAUAUAUAUGAUGCUAGGAUCAACCCAUUAGCUGAUGGAAUAAGAUAAGCCCAACGGCCCAGAUUGUAAUUUAUAACUCAAAAUCCAGUACUAUAAUUUUAAAAUAAGCAUUUGGUAAUUUUAAAAUAGAUCCCUCAAUUUUUAAUUUAAACAACUUCUCAAUCAGUCUUUUACUCAAGCGCACAAUCAUGACGGACAUGUCAUAAAACUAACUUUUGGCAUUUCUCUUACUCACCAAGUAACUCUGGAACAGGUAAGGGCAAUAAAAGCUUACACAGUUAAUGAUUGCAUUUUAGUUUCUAAUUUCACUAAUUUUAUGUUAAAAGACCAUGAGAUCCAUUUUUUUAGAAUAAUAAAAUGUUUCGCUAAUUUUAUAUUUUCUUAUAAUUGUAGGUUAUUUAAUAAAUAUAGUGUUUUAACAAAAUCCACUAAAUUAUUUUACAACUAUUUAAAAAUCCUUUUCAAAAAUUUAAUAAAAAUUUCAAUAUUUGUGAUUUUUUAUAUAAAACAUUAAUUUUUUUAAAAAAAAUCAUAAUUAAAA